This 50257-nucleotide long non-coding RNA is filed under the name Carica papaya (papaya). RNAcentral's name for it is "long non-coding RNA (CPAP_LNC010528)". The record is from RNAcentral. Lineage: Eukaryota; Viridiplantae; Streptophyta; Magnoliopsida; Brassicales; Caricaceae.
CAAGAACAGGACUUUAAUUGUUGUAUACUUACCCUGUGUGCAUUCAAAUAUCCUGUGGAAAACUUUAACAAGAUUUUCCCAUCGUUUUCAACGUGAAGAGAAUAAAUUAUUUUUCUGGGAGGAAGCAAUCUUUGAAAGUUCUGCAAAAAAUUUUAAAAAAAAAAUUGUCAUCUUUUUUUAGAGUUGACGUUAUGAUGACUUCCUUUUAACAUAAAUAUAUACAUAUACAUAUAUAUAUAUAUAUAUACAUAUAGAUGUGUGUAUUUAAGUGAUUAUCUGAUCAGUAUAUAAGAGCUAAUAUUUUUACCCAAAAUUUGUAUUUCUCUUCAUCUAUAAAAAUUAUUGUUAAUUUAAAUUAAAUUGUCACUAUUUUUUUUAUACAAUUAUGUUAUAAUUGAUAUAUACAUAUGUAUAUAUAUUUUUAUUCAAUAAAUAAAAUAUAUAAAGUAUCAAUAUAUAUUAAUUAAAUGCCCAAACCAAUCAAUAUUAAUUGUAAAAUGUAUAUUAAAAAUUAAUCUAAGUAAUCAUAUAGUGGGGCGGCAUUAUUGUGUAUAUAUAUAUAUAUAUAUAUAUUAAUAAAAAGAUAUUAUCCCAUGACACCUGCCCCAUUAAUUAUAAUCCUAUAAAUAUAGCCAAAUUUUUGUAUUGCAUACGUAUGUGAAUAGAAUAAAAUUGUUUUCUAUUUCAAACGAUAUUAAAUUACUGAAAUUAAGUGAGAAGAAUUAUUGUCUUCAAAUUACUUAUAAAUUAACUAAUUAAAUUAGCAAUUAUCACUAUAAAUAAAAACAAUAUUAUAUAUAUAUAUAGAAUAAGAUGAAGGUUUGGUCAAAUUAUAGAAUGUAAAUGCACGCAUAGAUGUCUUUAAUUAAAAUUUCAUAUUUUUCUUAUAUAAUAAUAAUGUUUAUGAAAGUGAUUUGGGAAAGAUUAAUUUAAAAUGAGAGUAUUAAUAUUUAAUUAUGAUGUUUAAAUGACGUCUCCUUAGUGAGCUUCGCAAGGUAGCCGGUGAUGAAUUAAUUUUUUUUAAAAAAAAGAAAUUAUUAAAAAAUCUAUUAAUUUAAUAAUUUAGCAUUAAGAAUUUUAAAUAUUAAUGGAAGAAAAUGACAUACGGUAUACCAACUUUGAAUUCGUUUUUUUUUUUUGGAAAAAAAAAAUAAGUAGCUAAAAAAUUUAUUUAUACGAACAAAAAAUAAAAGUCGUGCAAAAGAAGUGAAACCGAAAAAUCUAAGAGGUUUCAAAAUACAAUAUUAUCUAUUUGAAUUGUGAAAAGAUCGCUAUAUAUGAGCAUAAGCUACUUUAUUAUAAUCUCGAGAGAUUUAAAAAAUAAUAUAACCUUAAAAAAAAUAUUAGAAAUUAUUUUAUAUAUCGUUUAUCAUAUUCUUUCUAUGAGUUAAUCUUGUAUAUAAUUUUAGUGGUAAGAAAUGAGUCUUAUUUUAUUGUUUGUAUAAGAAUAAGUAACGAAAAUUUUUCUAAAAUCGGGAUAAAUUUAGUUAGAAAAAAAAAUUAUACCUCAAUUAUAUUAAGUUAUUGAGAAAAUAUCUUCUCAAUAAAUCUUAAGAUACAAUAAAAUUAAUAUUUAAGUAAUAAGACUAAUUACAUACAUAUAUUUAUCUCUUCGAUAAUAAUUAUAAAUUUAAAACGAAUUAUAUUACCUUAUGACAUUCUAGUUCAAAACAAUCAUUUUUUAAAUCUAAAUUUUUAUUUUUUAUUUAAAAAUUUAGCUCAACUUAUUAAUAAUAUAUGAUUCGAACCGCAUAUGAAACUCAAUAAUCAUUUUUUUUUUUAAUGUAGAGUCAACUUAUAUUAAAUAUAUAUAUAUAUAUAUAUAUAUAUUGGAGUUACGUACCAUUAAUACCUUGGACUUAAAAUGAUAUUUGGGUUUUGAAAGCAUUACAAAUAAUAUGCAAGGUUCAAGUUACAAUUAUGAUACACCUAUAUAUAUAUAUAUAUAUAUUAAAAUAUAAAUCUUUUAUAUUAUUAUGGUAGAAGUUUCUACAAAGUAGAAGUAGAUGGUCAGAAAAAUAAUACCCAAAAAAUAAAAUAAAAUAUUAAUUAGAGGACUAGAUUGAAGAUGAGUAUCACAUGGUUGAUUAAAUUAAUUUAAUAAAAUAUUUGAAAAGAAAAUAACAAAGCAUAGUCAAAAGUCAUAGCCUCGUGCCACUUUUACUUUGAUUAGUUGCAUAAACUUUAUUCAUCAAAAAGAAAUUUGUCUUCUUUACACACUUGUGGAACCAAAAGAUAAAACUUUAAGAAAUCGUCGGUGUGAAUUUAAUUACUAACAAAUUUUACUUGUGUAAAGAACCUAAAUUUUAACAUAGAUUUGUAUUCUACGUGUUAUGUGGUAUUUCUCUACAUCUAUAAAAUUUUAUAACGAAAGUUUGAUUUUUAUCUAACAUACGAAUAAUUAUAUAUUACGUCAUAUAUAAGAGUUAAAUUUUUUUAUCGUGUUUUAAAAUCUAUUAAUUAAGGAACAAGAUCAAGUAAUCAGUUUCUAUGGAGCAUAAGUAUGUAAGGGUUUUCUAAGAUUUGAUAGAAAUUGGUUCUCUGAGUUCAAAGGUAAAAAUUGAACCUGACUGCAAGAUUCACUAGUUGAACAAUAACAAAAAGAUUUUUAAAGGGGAAAAUAGACAGGUAAAUGAUUAUGUUUUUCAAACCCUUUAAUUUCUUUUGUCAAGAUCCUACACAAACAGACCAAACUUGUCAGAAUACACAUUCGGUUCCAAAGAUGCAGGAAUCAAUUUAGCGGACUUGAAGCUUGAAGAGAAUAGGAAAGUUGACUGGUGAGGCCCGUGAAAGAGUCUAGUCAAAAUACUGCAGAUACAGGAAGCAGCUUCGUGAUUGGUAAACGUGUAGUUGGAAAUCUCCAGUUCCACUGUCAAGAAUCAAAUAACAUCAUGGAAUACAGUUUCUCUCUUAUCAAGAAUCACCAAUAUCUUCCCAAAUUCAAAGGGUUAGAAAUUGGUAUCUCGUCCGCAGUUCACGUCCAGCCAUCCAGGCAGGAUACACUCCGUUGGCAGCGUAAAAACUGCAAUUAACUUCAAAUCUGUUGGAGACUGAAUCCAUCCUUUCAGUGGAUAAAUUACUUGAAGGGUAAGUCCGGCUCUUGAUAUCAAGGUGGAUCCCUACUGUUUCAAUUCUUUUGCGCAUCAGACGGAACAGGAGUUGUGAUUGAGACAAGAGGAGGCGGGUGUAGCUCGAGAAAGUUUUUGUUCCCUUCACUAUAGCCACCGAUGCAUAGUGUAUCCCCUCGACCAUGCCAAGUUCCAUCCUGGACAUUGUUCAUUUCCAGAGUUCUGGACUCCUGUUUCAUAUUUGAAGAAUACAAACCAUCAAAUUUUCUAAAACAUGGUUAAAAUACUUAGUGACCAAAUGAGAUUCAAGUCAUAAUAUUUGAUUGAUUCAAGUCAUAGCUGAAGAGUCCCUGUUUCAAGGGUCAACAAAACAAAUCUGCUGAGGAUACAAGUUUAGCACCUGGCAUAAUGCGCACAUGGGACAGAUAAGAUGGUAGAUGCAGUCGUCCAAGAAACUAUCAUUGCCCUGAAAACAAUCAAACAUCCAAAAUCUGUCAACGAAAGCAAUCAAUCGGAACCAGAAACAGCCAACUAAUGCCAAAUACAAGAAAGAUGCCACACAUACAGAUACUAAUUCAUAUACUCGACAAAAUAUGAUAUUAUACAUGUGCAUGACUUAUAUUUUUCUGUGUCAAUCACUAGGAAUUGCUCAAUGGCUGGUAACUUUGCAUAUAUCGAACUUAUCCCGAGGAAAAGUGAAACGUAGGCCUGAAAGGCUAGAAGAAAUCUUGACACAGAAGUAACUCAAAACUUCCAGGAUUUUAUGGAACAAAGACAGACCAUAUCCAACUUUGGAGAAUAAGGGCAACCAAAAACAACCCGGGGAAAUUGAGAAAGAAAGUUAUUUUUCCUAUUAAAAUAAAUGUCAUAGCUUCCUUAUUCCUAAAUUAACUAAUACUGAACGGUUUGUGAGAAAAAAAAAAAGGGACUUUCAUAAAUGCAAUAAAGUUCAUAGUAAACGGUUAUUAAGGCAAAGAAGAAUAGACUUGAUAGAUUCAGUCUCCAUUCUUGCUCAAAUACCCUACUAAAAAGCUAGAGUAUAUAGCAUUAUUUGCAUCGUCAUAAAUGUCCCCACCAAAAAGAUUACCAAACUAAGAAACUGUACACAAAAUCAAUUAAAGCAUCAAGCUUCCACAGAAUUUUGAUGGAGCUGCCCUCUAGAAGUAUGAUAAGUUAUUUUAUAUUACAGGUGGAUAUUGAUGUGAUAUCCCAUUCUAAAACUAUAUAUAAACUCAUAAAUUACUACAAAAAUUAACGAACACCUUAGUUUUUUCCUCUAGUAACCAUGAAAACGGAUACCGUGACAGUAUAUUACCUGUUAAACAAAAUAAUUUCUCCUAGAACCACAUGAGCUGCUCUCAAAUUAAUGUACAAGGAGAUAUUGCAGAUUAUUGGAUAAAAAAUUAAUAGAAAAACAUAAAAUGUUUAGAAGACUAGAAAUUAGGAAGAUAAAUAAUCAGUUCUUACUAUAUAUACCUGAUAUUAGGAUCCUUAUACAAAAUUAAACCUGCAAAACAACUAUUAAAAUCAAACCAAAAGAUGUAUUAAGAUUCUCACCCUUAUAUUAAAUUUCCUUCUUAUUUGUGCGCGGAAGAAACCCAAAUAUAUUCCCACUGAAAUGGUGAAAGCAAGUGCAAAAUACAGAAAGCAAUGGCGCUUGGUGACAAUAUAGGCAAUGAAAUUGACAAGAGCAGUAACAACGAGGAUGAAAUAAACGAUUCCCUGCAAAAUUACAUUUCAUGUAUAUCAAAAAUACUUGAGUUGCCAAAGGAACAAAAUUUAGAUUUGGUAGUAGAAUUAACAGAGAAUGUUUGUAAAUGAAUAACAUAACACUAUUCAAGUAGCUUGAUUCUUACUCUCCGAAAAAAGUAGCUAGAUUCUUAAGAAGCAUAACUUUAUAUUUGAUUUCCAUAAACGCCAUGAUGGUUUUAAGAAUUAUAAACUAAUUUUACCUGAAUAAAACAAGGACCAAAACCGGCCCGUCUCAUGUUUUUCCCAAAUCUGUACCAUGGGCAACUGCAAGAUCAAAUACAAUAUUAUUCAUAAAGCAUCAUAAUAUUACAAUCAUAGAAACCAAUAGUAUCAAUUCCCCCCCAACAGGGGGCUAAAACUGCAGGCAAAGCAUGGAAUACCUAAAUACCCAGAAGAAAAAGGUCAAUGCUUCAGGUGGCAUCAAAGUCAAACUUCCCUGACCUGAAAUUAUUUGGCAAAAAAUCUACCAAGGGAAAAAAUUGCUUUCUCCUAAUUACACUCAAUCAUAAGACUUUGAAAAGAGAACAAUAAGGAAAAUUUUGAAACAAAAAGGAAAAUAAAAACUCAACAUUAACCCGCACGUUUAUUUCAGAUGAAAAUCGAAGUAAAAAAGACGAAUAAAGAAAAAAGCUAUCAUAUCCAAUCUACCAUCCUUUUAGCUCCUACCUAAAACUAAGCCCCCAAAAAAUCUCAAGAAAAGGUAAAAAAAUUUCUGCCGAAACAAACAACAUCAGAAAAAUCCGGAAUUCACGAAAAACACGCCUAAAUUUUUUUCUUCAAAAAAAGAUUCUCAUGCGUAAGGGUUUCUUCACACCAUAGCAUAGCUUGUCUAUAGUUUUCUCCUAGAAACAAAAAAAAUUUCCUGCGAAACAAACAGGGGGGCUGGGAAGACCAAAGAACUCACCAAGCGGAUUCAAUAGCGAUACGACGGUCCUCGCAACAAUCAAGAACCUCACCUUCCCACAUCCUCAAAACCCCACCUAAAUCUCCUCCUUUCUCAUCAUCUCCCGCAUCGACGCUCUCCAGUCUCGUCCACUUUCCUUGCGUCUGCAACGCCACAGUCGAACACAACAUAUCGAAAUCCAAAACCGCCAUCCCCUCAAUCAGCUCCUCCUCCUCCUGCCCUCCUCCACCUACCCCGCCCUUCUCUCGCUUUUCCAAAUCCUCCAUUGACACCGUUUUCCUUCCCUUUCCUUCUCUCUGUCUUUUGCUUUUCCGUGACCUCCUUGAUCUUCCGUGUGUGUUCGUAUUCUUGGAAAGGAUGCUUUUUUUUUUUUUGCUUUCCUUUAAUUAACAAUUUUCUGUUUUUUAAAGGUUUUAAAUUUUAAGUGGGAAUGAAAAUAGUUGGGGGGUGGAAGGUUUAAGUGGCGGGUAAUUAUUAUGUGUGGGUCCCAGUGGAGCCCCAUUAUUGACGGUACAGCUGUUGCCACCUAGGAUCAAGAUUAUCCUAUUUUGCAUAUUUAUAUAUAUACAUAUAAAAUAUUAUCUUAUCAAUUAACUAAUUUAAUUAAUCAUUGAAUCAUAAUCAAUCAAAAUAGGAUUAGUAAUAAUCAUUUUUUAAUUAUUUUGGCCAAUUAUUAUUAUUAUUAUUAUUAUCUUUUUUUAUAUUUUCAUGAUUAUAUGAGAGAGCACUUUUUCUACAGUGAUUAAAUCAAAUAAUUAAGAGUAAAUCUUUUUAAAUUAUAAUUUGAUUAUCCAUUUAAUAUUAUUAUUUGAACUAAUUAUGGGGUUUGCUUUGUUUAAAAAUGGUUUAUAUAAAUAUAAAAAUAUGAGAGGAAAAUGGAUAAGGAAGAAAUUGGGAAAUCAUGUGCAGUCAGCCAACCUCUGAGCUGUCCAAUAAAGAUUGUAAAAGCCUUCUUAGUACUUUAGCCCAUUAAUUGAAAAUCUUAAUAUCAAGUAAUAUUAGGGUUCUUGAGUUUUUUUUUUUUUUUUUAUUAAAUAUAUUUUCUGGGUCCACAUAAUUUUGUCAACUUACUAUUUGAAAUAUAAAAUCUAGAUUUUUCAAAUAAAUUAUUGAAGUGUUUAAAGAAUAUGAACUUACUAUUUGUAUUCAUUUAUUUAUAUUUUAAUUUUACUUUUUUUAAAUAUAUAUAUAUAUAUAAUUAGCAGACACUGAUACAGACACUGGACAUGAUAUGACCAUGAUAAAAUGCUGCAAAACUUGUUUAUUGCAAAAUAAUCAAUGANNNNNNNNNNNNNNNNNNNNNNNNNNNNNNNNNNNNNNNNNNNNNNNNNNNNNNNNNNNNNNNNNNNNNNNNNNNNNNNNNNNNNNNNNNNNNNNNNNNNNNNNNNNNNNNNNNNNNNNNNNNNNNNNNNNNNNNNNNNNNNNNNNNNNNNNNNNNNNNNNNNNNNNNNNNNNNNNNNNNNNNNNNNNNNNNNNNNNNNNNNNNNNNNNNNNNNNNNNNNNNNNNNNNNNNNNNNNNNNNNNNNNNNNNNNNNNNNNNNNNNNNNNNNNNNNNNNNNNNNNNNNNNNNNNNNNNNNNNNNNNNNNNNNNNNNNNNNNNNNNNNNNNNNNNNNNNNNNNNNNNNNNNNNNNNNNNNNNNNNNNGAAGGCAGCCAAAAUGCUUUCAUUGUCCGAAGUGCUUCCUCUUCAUAAGACGUGACCUUAACACUGUUUGCCCCAUGAAAACCAUUCUUGUCUCGACAAUGGUUUCUAUCACUGUACUGGGGAAGAGCACCAUGAUUUUGCUGAUCAAAGGCAUCUAGCUCUCUUGCUUUCUGCAAUGCUAGCUUCUCGUCUUCCUCUUCCUUCUCUUGCUUCUGUUGAGCAGAAUGGGCAGCUAGCUUCCUGCCAAAGAGGGUAAUAAGAUGUUAUAGAUUUAUAACUGAUCAUAGCAUGAAAGGCAGACAAGUAUGAGACAGUACUACAAACAGGAAAAAAUGACUAACAGAAUAUUUUCAUUUUAUUGAGAAAAAGAUAUUGGGUGGAGGGAUCUAUUCUUCUGCUUACCAUAACAAAGCAUCAUCAAAGCAAAGUUCCCAAUUGUAUUGGAUAAUCCUUGUUUUAUAUGUAGAACAGUUACUAAGCUGCAAUAAGAGGUAUUGCCAUAAAGCAACUCUCUUCUUUGAGUAUUUUCACAAAGCCAUUAAGCCAUUUACUCUCAAUACAACUCAAAUAAUAAACUGACUUUUCCUGCAUAACCAAGAAGUAAAGAGACGGCAACACUUCAAAAUUUUAAAACCAAAACCAUUAUCCCAAGCUUUACAUCCCAAACCUCUUAUUUGUCUUCUGCAGUAAACUGUCAUCUUUCUGCAAUUUAGCAAUAUGCUGAACAUAUGUCGUUUCUGCAGUAGCAUACAUUCCAAAACAGAGCCAUAUAACUUCUAUUAGUUGCUAUAUGCCCACCAGAAUAUACGGUAACAAGUUCCUCUAACGUACGACUUUUAAACCAUAAGCAUCUUCUUACAAUAGCAUUAUGCGUAUUUCCAGUCUGAUCCAUUAACCCGACGUCCUCCUGUUGCCACUUCCUAAAUGUAACAUGAUCUGACACGGGGAAAAGAAACCUUAACAUCCCGGGCAUAUUCUGAAAAACUUAGUAGUGGGCUUUUAAAAAAGCCUAUGCUGCAACUAUAUAGGAUUAUAAUGUUGUAACAUGAUCCUCGUGUUAACACACACUCUAGCUAAGGUCAUCAUCACCAAAGUACAUACAAAGAAAGAAAUAACCACAGCAGCUCAGGGGAGUGCCACAGUUGGCACAGGAACUUCCUUAACACGAUCACCAUCACCAAAACUUGCCAACAAUCAAACCCAGUUUGCACAAAUCACUUUCCUAGCAUUCCCACAUCGUCUAUUUCACUCAAAUGAUUUAGUAAAACCAUUAGCACCAUCUAGUUAUAAUUCCAAUCAUUACAACUUAAAUCACAAGAUUUGAAAAGGUAUACACAGAUCUCAAUCCUGAAAUUGCAUGAAAAUUUACACCAAAAAACGCGGAUUCUUUCAUCAAGUAAAAUAAAAAUCACAGAUUUACCUCUGUAUGUCUUUUUUCUGGGCGAGGAGGCACUCGAGGAUGCACUCUUUACAGAAGACAUGACCCUUUUGGCAGCACAAGGGGUCGAUGAAGGGCUUCAAACAGAGGCAGCAAACAUCAAACGGCUUGAUCGAAUCUUUCCCCAAUCUCUCCUUCUGGGUUCCAUAACCUAGCUUUCUCUUCUCGUCGUAAGUGAAAAACGCUAAGUCGUUGUUGUUCUUCGAGUGUCUCUGUGGCAUCUCUGCGUUAUCGCUUUACGAAAAAGAGAAGAUACUAAGCUGAUUAACGUCUCGGAUUGGUAUCGGGUUUAGAUUUGAGUGAAACCCUAAAUUAUAUUGAUCGUCUCUCCAGUAUGUCGAAUUUCAUUGGGUUUUGUUUUCCGUUUAGGAUCUGGAAUUUGGGGAUUAAGCACAGGGGGAUAUUUUGAGGUGCGUCACCGCCCAACAUAGGUGCUUGGAAAUUUCAUCUUCACCGUUGUUGACUUAUCAUCGAACGGUCAGAGUUAGGGUAUCUCCUUUUUUGUGAUAAUCUGAAAAUUCAACGGUGGAUGCAGAUACAUUACUAAUUGGAAUAUCUAAUAUGUUCAGUCUCGAAAAAUAUAUACAUAUUAGACGGGAAAUUGAAAACAUUUUUUUAUUUUUUAUUUUUUAUUUUUUAAAUAUGAAAAUAGCAUAUAUAAUAAUUAUCCUUAAAAAUUUAAAUGUAAAAAUAAAAUUAAAAUUUCAGUAAACUUCACAUAGAACAAAUAAAUUUUAAAUAUAAAAAUAAAAAUUAACAUAAUUAGUACAUAAAAUUUUAGUUGUUUACAUAACUUAAUUUUAAUUUAAUAAAAUUUUAUUAUACUUUAGUAAAAAAUUAUUUAUAAAAAUUUAGUUAAAAUAAUUAUAUUUAUUUAUUUAAAUUCUUAAAAUAUAAAAAUAUAUUUUCAUUUUUAGUUGAUUGCAAAUACAUAUACAUAAUAAUUAGUUAGUUAAAAUUUUAGUUUAUUACAAAAUUUUUAUAAGUAAUUAUUUUAUAAGUUUUUAAUAAUUUAUUUAUUUUUAACACGGUAAUGCAUAUAAUAGUUAUUUAUUUAAUUUUUUAAAUAUAAAAUAAUAUUUAAAUAUAUUAAAAUAAAUGAUAUUUGUUUAUUUAUUUAAUAUAAUAAUAUGUAAUUAAAAAUUAUAUAAUGAAUAAUUUUAAAUAUAAAAAUAAAAUUAAUAUCAUAAUAUUUUUUAAUUAAUUUUAAUUAAACUAUAUAUUUCAAAAUUAUACAUUAUCUAAAUUUCUGACUACUUAUUUUCUUCUAAACAGGUCAUUCAUUAUAUAGAUUUCAUUUAAAAUAUUAAGAUACAUUUAAAUUUUUAUUAGAAAGUUUUCAUUUUUAUAUAUAAUUAAAAGUUAAUGUAAAACCAUAUUUUAUGUAUAGCGCAUAGUAUAAAUUUAAUAUUAAAUUAAUAAAUAUUUAGUAUAGUAUUAUUUUAUAUAAAAUUAAUUAUUAAGGAAAAGAGAUUUAGAUCGGUUUCAGGGGCCGUACCCAAAUGAAACACAAUCGGGUCGGGCUCAUUUGCAGGGAGAGGAGUGAGGCUGUUCGGCGAGUCAAUGGUAAUAUAUAUUCAUCUUGUCGGUUUCUUAGGUUGAGAGGAGGAGUAUGUCAAUUCGUCGUUAACUACGAGGGUUUGAACGAGACGCUUCGAAGCCGCCAAAUAGAUUGAGAGAAGUCUACAAGCUGUGGUUUUUCACAGAAGCUUACCAGAGAGAUGGAGGCUAGGAAAUGUGUUGCAAAACAGCCUGAGAAAGACGACGACGACGACGAAGAUGAAGGAAGCGUCAUAAAAGAUGCAGUGCCUCAGUCGAGUCAGUAAUUAACCAAAUUAAUCUGUGAUAUUUAACAUGUUUCUUGGGUGAGUCUCCUUUUAAUCUUUUAUCACUAUGUCUUUGCAUUGAGGAAAAAAAGAAAACAGUUCUGAUAUUUCAGUUCAAUCAUUGGUUGUUUAGGUCAAGCCAUGAACUUGACUCGAAAAAUGAUGCGGGUGACUUUAUUUAGAAUCUGGGUCUAUUUGGAUUAAUCGUGAAUUUUGUUUAAAUUAUUUGGGUUUGUUAAAUGUGAUUGAUUGGAUUUUUGAACCUAGUUUCUUGUAUUUACAUCUAAAUAUAUGUUCGACUCUAUCAGGUCAAGAGCUCUUGGGCAGUGAGGGGAAUACAGAUGGAUACUGGAACUAAAUUCUCGUAAGUUUCAUGGUAGUUCUCUGGUUAUCAUUUUCAGUUAUAUACCAUAAGCAAACUAGUAAACCGAUUUUAAAAACUAAUUUAUCGAUAUUGUGGUUAUAAUUGGUUUGUGUAGGAGAAUCUAUGGCAGAUUGUGACAUUUAUUUAUUGUAAGCGCAAUAAUGUUAGUUUUUACAUUAACAGCUUUUUAGGUUUAUAUACUACUUGAUGCAGUUCUUGGAAUCUGGCCUGAUUUGUUAACAUUCGCUGUGAUGACUGCAUGGACAUUUCCGCUGUUUAAAACUUGGGCUUUGGUUUAGUCACAUUUUGCAUUGACCUAUAUACAUUGAGGGAAUUCAUUCAUUUAUGAACAAAUAGAUUAAUUUAAAAGUGCUAUACCUUAACCAUGACCAUGCACCGUUGAUCUAACUCCGCACUGGUGGGAUGUGAAGUCUUCAGUUAUGAAUGGUUCAUCAAAUUUCUCGCAUCCAUUACUCUUCAAAAUCUCAAAGAGUUAUGUCUUAUGCAUAUCAUUUUGACUAAUACUGAUUGGACAAGAAUUUGGUUGAUCCUGUCCGGUGCUGAAAAAUAUGCAUGUAUGGUAAUCUGAUCUUUCCCCAGCUAAGUUUCUAAAUAUUUCUAUCCUCAAAAUGAAAUUUCAUCCUAUCAUUAUCAUUGGCUAAAUGAUUGAGACCAAACUUCAUCCAGCAAGUCAACCAAUUAUGUUUCUUGGGAAAAUUUGACAGUACUAUAAGUUUAGGAACUUGUCCUCUAUAUAUCAUGCAGUUGUAAAGUUGGAGAAGGUAUACUCAGUCUGUAGCUUAGGGAAUCUCUGAUCUCAUCCAACUAUCCAUAAAUGAAUCUCUGCCCAUCAAUAUAAAUCUCUAUUUUCCUUGUCAUUUGCAGUACAGGAUAAUGUAUCAUCAUGUUAUGCUAUGGCACUGCAGUUUCUUUUCUCUCAACCAACAAUCAUUAGAUAUAUGUAAACUGAAUGACAUUUUACACCAUAACAGAUGCCUCCACCUGUCUGUUUGGUCAGUGGUCAACCAAGAAAUGCACUCACACGUUUAUAGUCCCAAAGUGCCAAAAUGCAUUGAAUACUUUUUCAUGCUUCUAACUUCCAGAACCCAAAUUUACUCAUGCUUGAUGCACAUCGACCUGCUAUAUUGUUUGUUGGGCCACCAUGUUAUUACUGAAUACAAAUGCUAGCUGAUUUCUUAAGAUUGUAUAAAAAUGUUUCAGCACAAUUUGGAAGACAUCAAGCUUGCUGGGAUCCAGAAUUAUAAGGAAUAUUUUUUAUAAAAGGAAGUAUUUGUUUUACAGGAAGCGAAGUUGGCUUGGUGAAUUUGUUCCUUGAGGACCUUCUGUUCUCCAAUAGAUUGUGAGCAAUCUAGCCUAGAGAAGCAUGUUCAAACUGAUGAUGGAGAGACAACCAAAAUAAAUGCUAAAUUCGUAUUUCUAAAAUAACAAAGUGCUUCAAAAAAGCAGAAAUGGCUCUCUCAUAAUUUCAGUUAUGUCAUAAAGGAGGUAAGUUUUUAUAUCCAUUCUGUCCUUGAAAUUAAGAUCUUUAUUUUUUUGCGUUGCAUUGUCAUCUUUGUGGUGCUUUAUUUCUCUACCUUAUAAUAUAACUAAGUUUGCCAAGGGGAAAGUUAUAGAAGGAAGAGUGAUAAAUAAUACUAAUGGCAAAAACUGACCGUAAUCUUAUUAUUCCUCGUGUUAAAAAUCUUUCUCCGUCUGCCAUCUUUUUCCUUGUUAUAACAUUAAUUUUGUUCAGAAGAAAAUAGGUGCAUACAAAUGAAGAGGCAUUGAGUUUGUGAAACUCAUUUACAAAAGGAAAAGUUACAAAGUAGUUAAACUAUCAAUAAGAUCCCCAAAAUUUUCUACUAAUGGAUGAUCCUUAAACGGAAAAAAGAAGGUUUCUUCUCUUAACUUUUCAAAAGAAUUACACAUCCUCAAAUGGCCUCUUAUUUUUCUCCCUCCAAAUAAUCCAAAUGGGAACCAGUGGAAUGAGAGAGAGAAGCUUUUACUACUCUUAUCACCUUGAUUGUCAUGCCAAGCCCAAAGCUCAUCCUCUAGACUACUAGCCAUGACUCGUUGCACCACCUCAAAUUCAGUAACCGAACGCCAUAAAUGCUAGCAAAAAUAACACCACAAAAGAAUAUGCUCUGUGGUUUCAAAUUCUCUAGUCCCUGCUUCCUAUGCAAAAAAGGUGGGGGGGGGGGNNNNNNNNNNNNNNNNNNNNNNNNNNNNNNNNNNNNNNNNNNNNNNNNNNNNNNNNNNNNNNNNNNNNNNNNNNNNNNNNNNNNNNNNNNNNNNNNNNNNNNNNNNNNNNNNNNNNNNNNNNNNNNNNNNNNNNNNNNNNNNNNNNNNNNNNNNNNNNNNNNNNNNNNNNNNNNNNNNNNNNNNNNNNNNNNNNNNNNNNNNNNNNNNNNNNNNNNNNNNNNNNNNNNNNNNNNNNNNNNNNNNNNNNNNNNNNNNNNNNNNNNNNNNNNNNNNNNNNNNNNNNNNNNNNNNNNNNNNNNNNNNNNNNNNNNNNNNNNNNNUUGAAAGAAAAAAAAAGAUGAUGACAAGUAAAUCAAGUACAGUUUUAGAAUUUAAGUUAAAUAUCAUAAAGGUCCAAGUGCUAGCUUGGCCUGGCUUCUGCUUCUGCUGUUAAAAGCAAAAGUCUUGCCAAAUGCUGAAAAAAAUAAGUAUUUUUUUAGCUAAAGCAUGAGCUGUUUUUGCCUUUGAUACAGAUGGAAUCAGAAGCUGAAAAUAAAUACUUUUGAUAAAUAGUUUGUGUUGUAGGAGACAAAUAAUAUUUUAAAUAAAUAAUAUUUAUUAACUGUAUAUUUCAUAAGUUAAUAAACAAUCUAAAACAAAAAUAUAAUAUUGAUACUUUAUUGAUAAUUUUAUGUGUAUUAUAAUUAUCUAAAUAAUAUUUAUUUUAAAAUAAUUUAGAUUAUUAGAAUAAUUUUUAGAAAAAAUAAUGUUAUUUAAAUAUUUAAAAUGAUUAAUUUUUUGUUGUUAUCUAUUUUUUAUUAUGUCAACAUUCAUUAUUUUAUAUGAUAAUUAACUAAAUAUUGUACUAUUUUUAUGCCAAAGACACUUUCUACAACAAGUUUUAUCAAAAACUAUACUCUUUUUCAGGCUAUUUUUAGGUACUUUUUUGGCUCACAGUUCAAUCCGCAGCUGCUUCAAAUGGAUCCUAAGUAAAUUAAUAGAAUAACAAAAUAGUUUAUAAGCAAAUCCAACAUAUCAUUUUCUUAUCACAGGCUUUAUUGUACUGGCUAAUUGAUAAAAUAUUUGAAAGAAAAAUAAAACGAUGACAAGCAAGUUAAGUAAAAGUUUGGCAUUUAAGAUAAUGGCAUAAAUGUCUAAGCCUACUAGAUAUCGUGACCAAAAAAUAAUUUUUAAGCCAACAAAACCUCUUUUCCUUGUCGCUCGUCACAGUCAUACCUAACAGCCGCCGUUCUUUUUCUCUCCAACAGCAAAGAAAUUUUCUCUGUGCUCCGACAACUUUACUCACCGGUAAAAGGUGAAAAAAAAUCUACCUCUCUUUGUUGGAAGAUUUGGCUUCCAUUGAACCAGAUAAGAUAGUGCUUCUGCACUUGGCACUUCUAACUACUGAAGAUUUCUUUUUGGUAGGAUAUAAAGGUUUUCUCUUCAAUUUCGUUAUGUUGUAUGUUUGUCUUCAGUUUUUCUGUUUAAAUUUUAUAUCAUUUAUCCAUCUUGAUUUGGGUUGACGGGGUUAGGGUUAUCGAAUUUUUUCAUUCAUCGACUUCCCCCCUAUUUUUAUGAUAGAUUUUAUCUUAUGUUUCCUAAUAUUGCUAUCAUAAUUUUAUAUUCUAUCUUGUCUAUUGCUCUGGUAGAAUUUUAUUUUGUUGCUUACUAGUGGGCUUUACAAGUUACAGCAGUGACAAAUUAACUUGUUAUACUGGGAGUUGUGAAUUGCUUUGAUAUUCUCUUACAAAAUGUUCUAGAUCCUCCCUUGCCUAAUUAAUGAGUGGAAGCAUACAAGUAAGAGUUUUUUGUAGUAUAUAAGAACCAAUUUCAUGGGUUUGAUGCUCAAUUAUGUUGGUGGUUCAUUUAUAAAAGGCUUCUUUUCAAUAAAAUUGCUUUUGCUCCGGAAUGGAUUGGAAUCUGAACUAUUGAUUUCUAAUCACCAAUUUCUUUUCAGAAGCUUCUUUGCCAAAUAAUGAAUGUCCUUUUUGUUAUGAGAGAUGCCAUUGAAUUUUGUCAAGCUUUAUUGCACUCAGAGCUUCUUUGUUUAGCAGUCUCUGUUACAUUUUUUUGUUGAGACAAAUGGUGAGAAGAAUGUCAUAUAAAAAGUAAUUACUAGGGCUAUAUCUGCAACAAAAGAACUUCAUUUGUGGAACUCAUUUGGUAAUCCAAAUUUUUUUACUAAAUAAUAGUCAAUCGUAGAUUUACAUGAUAAAAAUUGACAUCCUAGAGAAUUUUAGGUGAAGAAUUCAUAGAAUUUAGAAUUCAUUGUUUUAAAAAUAUUUGGAAUUUCCUUGGAGGUCAACUUUUAACAUCUUCAAUAAUAUUUUCAUCAUUUUGUUGUCGAACUCAGAUUUUCAAAUAAAUUCCAGGAAUAAUUCUUUUGUGCCAAAUACAGUCUGAGUCUGUUAUAUUCUUCUUAGUGAAGAGUUUUCUUAAUCCUGUCCUUAUAACAUCCUGCUUAAGAAAUGACACAGAAUUGAGAAUCAACUUACUAGGGAGAUUAUGUGAAAAUGGAAGGGCUAGGAGUAAAUCUCUAAAGAAGGAUAUUGCAGCUAUCAUGAAUAUGGAAGCGAUUUUGUGGAGACAAAAAGUUAGGGAGAAAUGGUUAAAAGAAGGGGAUAUGAAUACAAAAUUUUUUCGGCGAUUUUGUGGAGACAAAAAGUUAGAGAGAAAUGGUUAAAAGAAGGGAAUAGGAAUACAAAAUUUUUUCGUAGUAUGGCUAAUUUCAGAAGAAAAAAUAAUCAUGUGGAAGAGCUCUAUUUUAAUGGGGAGGCUGUCAAGGGGAAUGAAGCAAUGAGGCAGAGAUCAAAGCUGUUUUUCCAGCAACUGUACAAAGAUGAAGAUGGCAGAAGGCUGAUGACCGUGUGUAUUGAGAUUUUGUAAACUAUAUAUUGGAGANNNNNNNNNNNNNNNNNNNNNNNNNNNNNNNNNNNNNNNNNNNNNNNNNNNNNNNNNNNNNNNNNNNNNNNNNNNNNNNNNNNNNNNNNNNNNNNNNNNNNNNNNNNNNNNNNNNNNNNNNNNNNNNNNNNNNNNNNNNNNNNNNNNNNNNNNNNNNNNNNNNNNNNNNNNNNNNNNNNNNNNNNNNNNNNNNNNNNNNNNNNNNNNNNNNNNNNNNNNNNNNNNNNNNNNNNNNNNNNNNNNNNNNNNNNNNNNNNNNNNNNNNNNNNNNNNNNNNNNNNNNNNNNNNNNNNNNNNNNNNNNNNNNNNNNNNNNNNNNNNNNNNNNNNNNNNNNNNNNNNNNNNNNNNNNNNNNNNNNNNNNNNNNNNNNNNNNNNNNNNNNNNNNNNNNNNNNNNNNNNNNNNNNNNNNNNNNNNNNNNNNNNNNNNNNNNNNNNNNNNNNNNNNNNNNNNNNNNNNNNNNNNNNNNNNNNNNNNNNNNNNNNNNNNNNNNNNNNNNNNNNNNNNNNNNNNNNNNNNNNNNNNNNNNNNNNNNNNNNNNNNNNNNNNNNNNNNNNNNNNNNNNNNNNNNNNNNNNNNNNNNNNNNNNNNNNNNNNNNNNNNNNNNNNNNNNNNNNNNNUCGGGCUUAUGGGGUUGAAUUAGGUCAUGACAGGUAGUGUAAGUAAUAAACUAUGGUCAUGACAGGUAGUGUUCGAGCUUAUGGGAUUGAAUUGGGUCAUGACAGGUAGUGUAAGUAAUAAACUAUUGGCAUGGAUAGGGUUUUGUAAAAAGAAAGGGGAUUUGUUUCUUCUUCCACUUACCAUUUUUUGGGUGAUUUAGAAGGAAAGAAAUGUGAGAGCUUUUGAGGGUAUAGAAACUAACUUUCUAAACAUUAAGGAUAGAUGGAUGCAUACUUUUGAUUCUAUUUUAUUAGGUCAUAAUAUUAAUGAUUGGGAAGAUAUUGGUUUAGUCAUGAACCACUUGAUUGAUAUGUAAUUAUUUUGUAUAUGGGUGGUAUCUCCUUGGUACUUAUAUGCAUAAUAAUACUUGUAUUUCAAAAAAAAAAAAAAAAGAAUCAACUUACUAGCAUAACAUUAUUUGUCUCUAAUGUUUUACUGUCUCCCUCUCUCUUUAUCUAAUCCUAUGAGAAUCUGGAAGAGAGGGUCAAACAAGCACCUGUUUACCCAUAAAUGUAUUGAUUUCAAAGAAAAGGAUUUCAUAUUGCAAAUGCUACAACUUUAUUGUUCCAUGCUGCACAUUUAUUUUUUACUAGAGACAUGAAAGAUUCAUCCUUUAGCUUUAGUGUCAUAUGAAAAUUUCUUGUUAUUAUAUCACUGGAAUAGUUUAUCCUGCUAAUGAGGUUUUGGUUUUUGACAUGUCUAAAUCAUAGGAAAAGUGGGCUUCAUUUCUUAAGCAAAUGUCAAGAAAGCAAAUGAGGCACUCAUCUCUUCAGGAGGAAAGUGCAAAGGAAGAACGUGAAGACAGACUAAGCAGUUUACCUGAAGAUCUUUGCAAGCAUAUUCUCUGUAUGCUACCCAUACAAGAUGCAAUUAGAACAUGCAUUUUGUCCAAAAAGUGGAGAUAUACUUAUCAGUCUCUUCAGAAUCUUGUAUUUGAUUCCUCACAAUUUACUGAUGCUGAAAGUAGACCUGAUCAUUUUGUGGAAUUCAUAGACCAGUUACUCUUGCACCAUGAUGACUCAGAUAUACCAGUCAUCAAAUUUAAAUUAUGGAGUGAAAUAGCACGCUAUAAAUUAAAGACGAAAUGGAUUGAUUUUGCUUUGAAGCAUAAUGUUGAAGAUCUUGUUAUUGAAGCUCGUGUUGCUGAACCAAAAGGGUUUAGCCCCUGUAUCUUUUCCUCGACAACAUUGAAAAGAUUUACUUUCGUCGUCGGCUUCUAUAUUCUCAAACGGCCAACAUCCGUUUAUCUUCCUAGUCUUAAAGAAUUGCGACUUGGGGGUGUCAUUUUCAUUGAUGGUGAUCUGACAAGGGAAUUGUUCUCAUCGUGUCCGAUGCUGGAAUAUGUGCAUUUAUUAAAUUGCGAUAUGUUUCGUCUAAAGGUUCUAACUGUUUCUGCUCUCAGACUCAAGUAUUUUCAUAUAGACUAUUGUCGUGGGCUCCAAACAAUUGAGAUGAAUCUUCAUACCCCUAGUCUUAUAUCACUUAUAUGGAGGGGAAAUCUUGCACAAAUCUAUCAUAUAAGGGGUGGCCCAUCUGUUCAUUAUGCAGAUAUUCAAGUUGGAGACAUUUACAGAAGCCAAACGAGUAUAGAUGUUCUCAGUCAAACUACUUUUAAUUUGCUUAAUGAACUCUGUCGUGUUACUGUACUAGCUGUGGAUAAUUUGUUCUUGGAGGUAUGUGUUCUGUCGAUUUCUUAUACUUAUUUGAUUUUCCUUUAUUUUGGUUAAUAACUCUUGAUUAAUGGAUAAAGAUCUUCUUAGUGUUCCUUUUAAAGAAUACGACUACCCUCAUGAUAUUUUUUGGUGUUGCAGCUUCUCUUCUACAAGGCGAGUUCUCCAUGGAUAUAUGCAAAUGCAAUUACUUUUCACAACCUGAGCAAUGUCUAUAUGUCUGUCUGGCCAUCCAAGAAGCAUAUUCAGAUGAUUGUAAUCCUCCUCAGUAGAAUGCCGAAUGUCCACAGCGCCCACUUUCUCAUGCUUGUUAGUUCAUAAACUUCAAUUCUUUUUGUACUCAAUGCAUAUUUAUUAACCACUCUCGUUUAGGGACAGCACAGUCUUAAGUAUUCUAAAUGGAAGCUUACUAUUAUUAUUAUUUAUGUACUUUUCUUAACUAUAUUAAUAUGUGUAGGCACAAGGGCACCCUUCGCAUGCGUCCGCUUUGGAAUGGAAUGCUGAAAACCUUGAGACCAUUGGGAUGCCAAAUCUUCUGGAAUAUAUUUAUGUUGACAAAUUUGUUGGACAUGAGAUUGAUCUUUACCUGGUGAAAGUUUUCCUUGAGAAUGCAAAAUCAUUAGUUAAGCUGACAAUCUCUACCUGUUGUAAUGAUAUUGAUGGAAAGAAGCCUGAGAUUAUUGAGAAGUUAAUGGCACUUCCAAGAGCUUCAACAAAUGUGGAAGUACUUCUCUUGUAACGUAAUUUUAGUUGCUGAAAAGAGGUAAUGACGUUUUUCUACUUAUUUUUAACACAAUCAAGAGGUUCUCAUGUUUGUACUUAAUGAUAUGCCAUUGCCAAUAUUCGGUUGAGAAGUGGUUGGGUUAAAUUUUUUUCUUGGCAAUGCUAUAAAGUAAACGUUACUGCUUAUUGCUGGGAAGUUGUCCAUUGGGAAUUUGGGACUUGGUACUGAAAUGCUCAUGCUUUUGUCGGCAAUAUGACCUUACUGUUGCCUAAAAAAAAAGUCUAAUUAUUGUUGCCUUGAGCUUUCUAUUGGUUCCUGCUAUUGGUUUGUGAAACUGGAAAAUGCAAUGCUUGGUUGGCUUUAUUUUUAAUGUUUGUAUCAUUUUCCUGAGGAGUGGACAAUCAUAUGUUAGCUAUAUUUUUAGGGACUUUUAUUUUUCUCCCCUGUAGAAUGCUUAACUCAUAGCUGCAGUAAAUGUUUUACCCAAAGGGAAACCUUUAACAAGUACAAUUUUGGCGAGUAUCAGAUUGUUUUAAAGUCCUUUUUAGUUGUUUCGAGAUUCCUAAAUGAAAGAAACAAGAAAAAAGAAAUGCCUCAUUCUUUACUGAUUUCAUUUUACUGUUUCUCUGCUUGCAGGAAAAACUUAAGAGAUCUCUCGUAAGGAUUCCUGUUUAGAGAAGGAAGAAGAUUCGCGUUUAACAUUGACAGACAAACUCUUGAGUCUUGGGAGACUUACAAAAGUGAGGCUGUGAGAUCCAUUUGAAGAAAAUAAAGAAAAAGGAUGGUGUUAACUUAAUAGGCCAAUAAUAGUUUAGCUACUUGAUGAAAGCCGAUGGAUGCUCUGUUAGAUAUAAAAAUGUAUAUUUUAUAGAAACAAAGAUGUGGAGCUUGUUUGUCUUUCUGUACUAAUCCUUUUGGAUGGAAAGUAAUGUAAUUGCAAAACUUUUGGAAUUUAAAGUAUUCAUCAUUGAAGGACUUUUGCUAGUUUGGAGAACGAUAUCUUCUGUUCCUUCUCUUAUUUGCUUCGAUCUAUGGGAGGAAAAAUUGAUUGUUGGCCGAGUCUGUAAAAGAAAAACUUUUGAUUGGGGAGACAUUUGUAAGAAAAAUUUUAAUUCUUAAUUGUCGAUGGUUAAUGAAAGUUGAACAUCCUGAAAAAUAAAUUAUAUGUUCGAUAUUGUUUAAUUUUUAAAUUUUCAAUUGAUCAACUAAAUCUAAUUGAUUUUAACGAACAACAUGUCAAUUUCUCUGCUUAUAUCAUUGCACAACAUCUUAUUGAAGAAAAGUAAUUGAUCAUAAAUUUUGCUUUGUUAAUGACUUAAAAAAUUGUGUAUUACCCUUUUUCUCUUUAGAUGUAAUUUAGUUUUAUUACAAUAAUUUAAAGAAUUUCCGCCAUGAGUUUGCUCUACUAUUUUAUUAUUAUGUUGGACAUGAGAUUGAUCUUUAUCGGGCGAAAAUUUUCCUUAAUAAUGCAAAAGCUUUGGUAAAAUUGACCAUCUCUACUUUUUGGAAUAGUACUGAAGGUGAUGAUGGAAAGAAGUAUAAGAUUAUUGAGAAGUUAUCAGCAUUUUCGAGAGUUUUAGCAAAAGUAGAAGUACUUCUCUUCUAACUAAAUUCCAUUGCUGAGAGGAGCUAAUAACAUUUGUGCUAUUUAUUUUUCAAUCAAGGGGUUCCCAUGUUUGUACUCGAAUUUCUUAUGUUUGUAUUUAGAUUAAUGAAAUGCCCUUGCCAUUAUUGGGUUGAGAGUUGGGUGGGUUAAAUUCUUAUUCUCAUCAAUGCUAUAAAGCAAACAAAUCUUUUUUUUUUUGGUAAAAACUAUUAAGUAAAAGUUUCUGCUUAUUGAUGGGAAAUGGGGGUCUCAGUACUGAAAUACUCAUGCUUUUGUUAGGUAACAUUAACUGAUUCUUGCUUUAAAAGAUUAAAAAAGAUAUCUAAUUAUUAUUGCCUUCAGCCAACUUUUGGUUCCUGUUGUUGGUUUGUAGAAGAAAAAUAAAAUGCACAGUUGAAUAUAUUUCCAAUAUUUCAAUCAAUUCCUCUUCAUUAGAUGUUCAUAUUUUCUGUUGGCAAUAUUGUAAAUAUUUUUUAUUAUUGUCGUCGAUGGAAUGUUUCGGUGCAAUUCCACGUAGCACUUAACAAGUUAAAUUAUGAUAUGCGUGAGAUUGUUUCAUGGUCCCUUCUCAUUUCAAGGUUUCAAUAAGAGCGACGAAUAUUUUUACAAAAGAAAAAUAAAUAGUUCAUGGUCAAUGGCUUUCAUCUAUGUUUUUUACCGGUUUGUGAGAAAAUCCAACAAAUCUUAGAAGGGUUUCUAUAAGUUAGAAUCAAGAAAAUUGACAUUUGACAUUGAAUAAAUAACAGUAUGAGAAUAUAAUCUUCCCUAGCGACUAACUCUAAAUCUUUCAACCUUCAAAAAAAAGAAUUUUUCAUCUUAUCAUUAUAACUGGCUAAGUAAUUAAGAACAAUCUUCAUACUGCAAGUCCUAAAUACUUGUCUUCAGGAAAAAAUUUCAAGAUACAAGUUUAGGAACUUGUCUUCUAUGUAUCAUACGGUUGUUCAAGUUGGAAAAACAUACAAUCAUAUUGCUUAGAAAAUCUUUUAUAUCAUUAAAUUAUCUGUAAACAAUGAUUUGUGAUAGUAUAAUCUUUGGCCAUCCCAUAUAAAAUUCUCUAUUUUUGUUGUUUUUUGUAUUAUGAAAUUGUGUAUUAUCAUAUUAUGCUCGGUGCUGCAGUUUCUCUUCUAUAAAUGCAACAAUCCUUUGACACAUACAAAUUGAAUUAUAUUUUUAUACUGUAACAGAUGUUUCUGCUUGUCUGUUUGGUCAUCUCUCAACUAAGAAAAAUAUAUCAAAAUAUAUAUAUUUAUAUAUAUGCAAGCUAAUUUUUUAAGAUUGUAUGUAAAUGUCCAGAAACAAUUUUGAAAACAUCACGAUUGUUAUGAUCCUUAGUUUUAAGAAAUACUUUUUGUAGAAGAGUUUGAUGUGGUGACUUUUGUGAAAUCUCUAAUUUUCACUUUCUUGGUAUUAAUUGUUAUGGUGGAGGUGAGUUACUAGAAUGCCAGAUACUUUAUAAGAUAAGUUUACUAUAAAGUAAGAAAUGGAGUUUUGACGAAAAUAACGAAAUUAAUUAAGAUAUAUCUAUUACAUAGAAAAUCAUGUACUUUAACAUAUUUCUUAAAUUUGAACUAAUAUUUUUUUUUUAAAUAACAUUGAACUGAUAUUUUCAAUUACGAUUUUUAGAUCCUAUGCCUUUUAAUUACUUGAAGAUAGAACUGACGCUUAAUAUUCGGUGUAAUUCACCAUAAAAUACUCCCACAUGCUUUGGAAAUGUGAAAUUAAUGUCAACAACAAAACCAAACUCAUUGUUUCAUUAUUUUGUCCUCUCAUCUAGAGUUGGCACACCUUUUUUUUUCCCUCAAAUAAUACAUUUACAUCUUAUUUUGAUAAAUUUUAGUGAUAAAUAAUUAAUGUAUGACAAUGACAGUGAUUGGAUGACAAUGACACAUGAUGGGAAUGAAUUUUUUUUUUUUAAUAUUUGGACGAUUGUGUAUUAAUGUAUGUUAAUGACGACUGUUUGUUUGAAUGAUAAAAUAGUAUAUUUAUAUUUUUAGUCAAAUUAUUAAUUUAUCUCUAUUUAAUAUAUGUAAUAGUAAAUGAUAUAUAAGAAGUAUAUAAUAAAAAAAAUAAAUAAAUUAUAUAAGAAUAUAAUUAAAUUUGUAUUUAAAUAAAUAAUUAUUACACAUAAUCAAAUUAAACUUUUAUAUUUAAUAAAAUAAAUAAUUGUUAUUUAUAUUAUUACAUUAAUUUAAUUUUAAUAUAUAUUAAAAAUAAAUGAUUGUAAUUAAAUAUUAUUAUAUUAAAUCUAAAAUUAUUUUAAUAAAUAAAAAAUUAAAAUGUGUUUGAGAUAAUCGCAUAUCAUGAGUUAAUUUGAUGAAAUGAGAAGAGAAAUAUGGGGUUUAUUUGAGGAUAUAACUAGAAUUAAAUAUAUUUUAUGAAGGUAUAACGGGAAAAAAAAAUAUUACAUGCCGAUCACAUACCACCGAUUCGGUGGUUUUAAAAUUUAUCACAAAUUUGUCAAUCAUAUACCGUUUGUUACCAUUUCAUCUGAUUGGAAGUUAAAACAAAUAUGAUUUUUUUAGUGGAAUACCAUAUAUUAAUUAAUUACCAUUUACUACGAUCAAAAUAGAGUGUUAAUGUUGCUCCAAAAAAAUCAUAUCUCUCUCUAGGCCCACCCUAAUUACAAAACCAAUCACAUUUUCUUCUUCAAUUCAGCUAUCAGAAAACCAUACCUUUAACAUUGUUCCAUUACUUUCUCCCAUGCCAGCCUCAUCUACAUCCUUAAUCUGGCUUACAUUCUCUAAUAGAAAAAUUGAUAUGCUUUUUAGCAAAUUAUUUCUCUUCUCUGUUUCUUUUGUUAUUGUAUUUGCAUUACCCAACUAAUUACUCUUUACAGAUCCUUCACAACAAAACAUAAUUUUAUGGUGAACCUAUAAUGAAUAGCGUACACUAUGUUUUUUGAUAUAUCACAUUCAUGUACAUAGAAACUAUGCAAUUUUUAAAGUUUAUAUAAGAUUAUCAUUGAUUAAGCACAUAUCACAAUCCAAGAAAUAGAGAACUUAAAUGAAGAUGUGCUUUUUUUUUUUUAUAUAUAAGCCUGCCCAUGCCUAAAGCUCAUCCCUCACCAAUCCCGCAAUCACCCAAUUGAUCCUUAGGAGACCGUACACUAUAGACUAGAUGUUAUACAUCAUCAGGCAACAUAGAAGAAUGUGGUUACAUGAUUCCACAUUCAUCUUACAUAAAAAGUAGUUAUUAACCAUAAAUUUUUUCUUCCUCAUCAGCUUAGCAUUUGGUUAAAAUCAUCUUCUAAGGUUAAAAAAAGAUGGAGAGAGGAUUUUCUUAUCUUAUACCUUAAGUACUCAGAGACAACCAAGAGGCUUACUAUUCGCUAUAGUUACAAACGAAACUAUAAUAAACAACCUUAUACCCAUCUCCUGCUAUCCUAUCCAAAUCCUUUUUAGAACCAUAACUAAGUCCAAAAACUCCCAUUUCAUCAUGUCAAAUGCCUUAUCAAAAUCUAGUUCGAGGACCAAGCCUUUUUCGUUCUAUGCGUAUGUCCCACUGCUUCAUUAGUUGUAAGGGACAAUAAUCCAAUAAUCUAAUAUCCAUUAUGGUACGUUUUUCUUGGAUAUUAGGAUGAUCAAUAUUGAUUUCAUACUUCUACAAAUUCUCUCAUUCAAGUGAAAUUCCUCAAAAACUUUCAUCAAAUGAUCUUUAUAAUAUCCCAACAUGAUUGAAAAAAUGCACAUAUAAAUCUAUCAGAGUCAGGAGCUUUUUUUGUGCUUAUUCUUCUAAUAGCUCUCCUAAUCCGAGUCAGGAGCUUCCUAAGCGUUCUGCUUGAGCUACGCUCAUGGGGUGCCAAUGGAUAUCUUCUAUAUAAGGGUGUAGAAACACUUGGUUUGGUUAAAAAAAAUUCAAAAGUAAACAAAAAAAAGCUAAUUGGCACUCAAUAACUGAUUGAAUACUGAUAUGCUUAAAUAAGAAUAACCAAAAACAAAAUUGAGCUGAAUAUAUUUUAAAUUGAAAAUUUGAGUAAAAUACUACUUUUACUCAAUUUGGUUAAAAAAAUUUCAAAACAAAAAAAAAAAUUGUUAAAUCUUAUUAACUAACCGAAUCGACUGAUUAAGUGAGAAUGACCGAAAUUGAAUGAGUUUAAUAUAUUUUAAACUGAAAAAUUGAAUAAAGUACUAAUUUUAUUUCCUUAUACACAAUUUAUAUUUUAUAUUUCAUUUUCAAACUUUAAAAUUUUAAUUUCAUUAUCAACUGAUUUCGUUUUACUAACUUGAUUGCAGGAAGAUUUAAUAAAUCUACGAAUGAUUCAUGUAUGUAUAACAAAGACAAUUAGUGUUUGACAUUGAUAAAACAAUAGUUUAUUUCUUUAGUCUCGUAUUUUUAGAUAUUUUUUAUCCUUUCAUUUUUUCGACAUCAUUUAUACGUAUAAUUAUUUAAUAUCUAAGCGUGUUCUUUAUCCUUUUAUUGUUGGUUGGUAAACUAGUGUAAUUAAAGUACAAAUAUUCUACCACUAUAAAGAGAGAGAAAUAAAUAUAAUGUUUGUCUUGAUAAUAAUUUUUUAAUUAAUUGAAAGAAAUUUUAUAAUUAUAUUUUUUAAUUUUACUUUAAUUAUUACCAAAUUUAAUCAUGUUAUUUCUUAAAUACUAAUUGAUCUUUUCAUGUUAAUACAAAGAGUUUUUGUAACGACCCCGAAAAUUUAAAAGGAAAUGUAUAUAAAAAAAAAUCUGAGUGCGGAAGCGAAAUAAAAGGGUUCUGAUUAAUAUCCCUAACACAAUAACUUAAAACGUACUAAUAAUAUCAAAGAAUAAGUCAUCUAAAGGAAAUACUAGAAAUGAAAGACUAUAAAGAAAACUAUAAGAUAUAUAGGCAUCUACUCGCCGUCUUCUUGCAGAAUGGGUUUGGGAACCAAGUUCUCCUGAUAUGAAAUGGUUAAGUAAGGAAUGAGCUACACUAGUCCAGUAAGAACGUCACACUAUAUCACUGUCACAAAAGUAAAGGUUGGUAGAAAAAAACAAAAACAACCAAUGAAGUACGAUUUUUAAACAAAUUCAUUUAUCAAUAAUCAAACUAUUUACCUCAGUGAGUGUUAUAAAAACGAUCUAUAGAAACAAUAACAUCAUAGAUAUCAUGAAUUCAUACAUAUUCUGUAACAUAACACAUGUUAUACUUUUAUAUUUCAAUCAUCAAAUAGCAAUUGCCCUAUUUUAUCAGCCUACUAGUAUCCAUGAGGAUCUAUAGGGGUCUCCGCUACACGUGAACUAUUCAAUUUAACAAACUUAAUUCCAGGGCCAUCCCUAUACCCUGUCCGGUAUGGGCGCCAAAAUAAUAAACCUUAAUACCUCGUUCGGUAUAAGGGUGAAGCGGGUCGUCCUCAUACCCCGUCUGGUAUGAGCGUCAAAACAUUUAAAGUCUCCAUACCCCAUUCGGUAUGAGACAACGUUCCCGUUAGGGUUCCCUAUGGACCCGAUCAGUUUACUAUCUCCCAGGAUAUCUAGUGAGGCUGUCGUCUUAUCCAAUUAUCAAUUCAAUCCCAUUCCUAUUUAUCCUUAAUCUCUGUUACCCAUUCAAAUAUGAAUACUUAAACAAGCAACGUGCAUCCAACAAGGCAAGCAUAUCUUAGAUUCAUAUAAUUAAGCAGCAGUGAAGUAAAUAGUGAUUCAUGCAUUCAAAAUCAUAAAAUGAAUAAACCAAAUACCACAAUGUAUUUAAAACUGUAAAAUAAAUCAAACAGAAACUGACAGAGAAAUAUGUCCGAUUCGGGCUCCAUUAGCAACUGUAAUUAAUUAUGCAUAUUUACUUAAUUUGUACAAAAUACAGUUUUAUCAUUUAUUCAGACUUCAAUCCCGUGAUAGAAAAUAGGGUGAGGGGUCCUUACCUGAUUCGAAAUCAAAAAUAUGAUUUUCACUGCACCUACGGACAGUCCCUAGAUUUAUUGAAUUUUUUUUCGAGAAUUGAGACGCUCUUACGGUACCUACACACGUCCCAAAUAACUCAAAAAUCAUAUCCAAGGCCUACUCGGCUAAUUUCAGAAUUCUGGCAUGGCGGCUCCGCCAUGCUCCGGCGACAGCGAUCCGCCUUGGGUUGGCUGUUUUUGGCCGUUUCCGGCCGAAUUCAGCCAAACUUGUACCAGUUCCUGCGAGAAAACUCACGCAAUGCCCUCGGUGGGCCGAAAAAAUACAGAAAACCGAAACUUACCAGCGGCGGGGCUCUCCGGUGCGGCGGCUCCUUCGGCUCGAGUCCUGGUUUAGUGUUUUGCUCCGGUAAACCUGUAGAGGAGGAAACGGUAGUUACAAUGGUAAAAAAAUUACGUCGAACGGGACCGGAAAUGGCCUCAUCGGAGGCAAAAAUUAAGAUAACCUGUUGCGGCGCCGCUGGGCUUCGGCGGCAUUUUCCAGUCAAUUGGCUGAUUUUUUUCUCCAAUUUGGCCAUAGGUGGGUUUAGAAUCGAAUUCUGAGCCAAUGGGAGAAUUUUUUACCUCAUUUGGCAGCCGAAAAUUGUUCCAGUGCAGCGGUGGGUGGCGGCGGUCGGCUCUCCAGUGGGUGGCAGCCGCCGGCGGGCUGUCUUCUCCGACGAGGGGCUCUGGCGGCUAGGGUUAGGGUUUGGGUGUGGAUGAGAUUAUUUAUAACCUUCCGCUUUUAAUCUGAGUCGUCCAUCGUAAUUUAAUCUUUACCGUCCGAUCGCGAUUAAAUAAGAAAUGAAUAUGGAUCGUAUAUCGCGAUGCAAUCUGAACCGUCCAUGUGCGAUUCAAUCUGGGUCAUCCUGCGCGUGCAAUCUGGGCCGUCCGUACGCGUAGGAACGGAUCUCAGUCAUUCGAUCGUGCGCACGCAAAUCGCCCACGUGGCUCCCUUCCGUAUAGUCUCUCGUGUCAGCGUCCCUGCCACGCCGCGCAUACUGGUUGGCCGGGGCUGCUGAUCGGGCAGCUGACGUGGUGCAAUUUUUUUAAAUUGCGUUUUGACCCCCGAUUUUCAAAUUUUCUUUCAAAAAUACUCAUAAAACCCAAAUUUACACUCAUUUUUAUCAAAAUUAUUUUUAAUUAGAUCCCUAAGUAAUUUUUACUCCUUUUUAUUGUUUGUAUUAUUAUUAUUUCAUUUAAAAUAAAUUAAAUUUUAUUAAUACUUAAUUAUAUUUAUAUAGAAUAAAUUAAAAUAAAGUAAAAUACAAUAAAAUAAUAAUAAUAUAAAAAAAAGGAUUCUUGGGUGUUACAGUUUUCACAUUAAAAUUAUUAUAUUUUUUAAUGAUUAUUAUUUUUUUUUGAAUUUUUGAGAUUUAAUCUUAAACAUACUUAAAAUUAUUUUAUAUUUUUUAUUACAAUUAAAUAUUUUAUAAUAUUUUCUAUGUCCAACACCAACAUAUUCGUUUAUAAUAAUAUAUUUUAUCGAAAGUUAUUAAUAUGCAAAAAAAUUAAUUCAAAAUUCAAAAAUUAUAAUAUCUUUGACGAAUUUAUAAAAUUCAAACUUGGCUAACAAAAAUAAUUUUAUAAAAUAUGCUUUUUGGUGGAAGAGAGGAAAAUAGAUAAAAAAUAGAUUUAGUUAAAAAAAAUAUUUAAUUAAAAAUUGAUUUAACAUUUCUUUGAAUUGGUUCAAGGGGCCGAACCCAAAUGACGAGAACAAUUGGAUCUGGGUAUCCUGCAACAGAGACGAACGACUAGGCUUGUUUGAAGCUUUGAAGAGGUAUAUACUCGUCUUGUUUGUAUUUUGGGAGUUAGGGUUUAUAAAUUCAUCCUUAGCCAGCAGGGAUCAGACGAGUCCCUUUCGAUCGAGUCGCUUCCGAUCUGUNNNNNNNNNNNNNNNNNNNNNNNNNNNNNNNNNNNNNNNNNNNNNNNNNNNNNNNNNNNNNNNNNNNNNNNNNNNNNNNNNNNNNNNNNNNNNNNNNNNNNNNNNNNNNNNNNNCGUCAUGAUCAAACUAGGAGAAAAUUUUUGAACUUUCACUUUCAAUCACUGAUUUUUUAGGUCAAGCAAUGAACUUGACUAAAAAAAUGAUCUGGGUGACUUCGUUUAUAAUUUGGGUUGGUUUGGAUUGAUGGUUCUUUUUGCUUGGAUAAUUUUGAGUUUGUUAAAUGUGAUUACUUGGAUUUUCAAUCUACUUUCCUGUGUUUACAUCUAAGUAUAUGUGAUUUAAAUAUUGAUUGUAUCAGGUUGAAAGCUUUUUAGCAAUUAGGGAAUACGGAUGGACACUGGAACUAAAUUCUAGUAAUUUCCCUGGCAAGUUUUCUGGUUAUCACUUUAAGCUAUAUAUCCUAAGCAAACUAAUAUAAUGAUUUUCAAAAACUAAUUUAUCCAUAAUGUGGUUAUACUUGGUUCUCAUAGGAGAAUCUAUGGCAGAUUCUGACAUUAAUUGUGUGGACAAUAAUGUUUCUUUGUUGAUAGUAUGUAUUGAUUGACAGCUUUUAGGUUUAAAUAUUACUGGUUUGAAUUUGUUAAAUGUGAUUACUUGGAUUUUGAAUCUGGUUUCCUGUGUUUACAUCUAAAUAUGUGAUAUCUAAAUGUUGAUUAUAUCAGGUUGAAAGCCUUUUACCAAUUAGGGAAUGCGGAUGGAUACUGGAACUAAAUUCUAGUAAUUUCCUUGACAGUUCUCUAGUUGUCACUAUUAGUUAUAUAUCCCAAGUAAACGAGUGUACCGAUUUUCAAAAACUAAUUUAUCCAUAUUGUGGUUAUACUUGGUUCGUGUAGGAGAAUCUAUGGCAGAUUCUGACGUUUGUUUUCUUUUGUUUUUUGAAUAAAGGGUGGGAAAAAGCACCAGAUUGAAAGCAUUGUAUCUUGGAACAUUUGGUAAGUCCACUACUCAAUUUUGAUGGUUGUUUAUUUUAUGGAAAAUAAUGUGACAUUAUAUGUAUUUUUCUUCUAAAAAAUUGAUAUUUUUUAAGUAGUGUAUAUUGAUUAACAGCUUUUAUGUUAGUAUUACAUAAAAUGCAGUUAUUGCUAUGUGGUCUCAUUUGUUCACAUUGAUUGGACAAGUACUUGGUUCUUAUAGGAGAAUCUAUGGCACAUUCUAACAUUGAUUGUGCGGACAAUAAUGUUCUUUUGUAGAUAGUAUGCAUUGAUGAACAGCUUUUAGGUUUAAAAAUUAGUAAGUGCAGUUAUUGCAAUCUGGCUUCAUUUGUUAACUUUGGUUGUGUCGGGUACAUGAAUGUUUCUGCUGGUUAAAAUUUAGGGUUAGGUUCAGUUACAUUUUGCAUUGACCAAUGCAUAUUCCGGGAAUGAAUCCAUUUAUGGAAAAACAAAUUAUCAUUUAUAAAUGCUGUACCGUAACCAUGAUUAUGCACACUUGAUGUAACUCUGGCGCUCUGAAGUCUUUGAUUAUAAUCGUUCAUCAAAAUUCUUGCAUCUAUUUCUCUUCGGAAUCUCAAAGGAUUGUGUCUUAUACAUAUUGUUUUGACAAUUAUUGAUUGGGAAAUUUUUGUUAUAAUCCUGGCUGGCACUGAAGCAAUAUGCAUGUAUGUUAAUAUGAUCUUUCCCCAGUUUAUUUUUUUUAAAAAAAAUGAUCUUUCCCUGGUCAAGCUUCUAAAUAUUUCAACCCUCAAAACGAAAUUUCAUCUUAUCAUUAUUGUUGGUAAAUGAUUGAGACAGUCUUCGUUCGACAAAUCUUAACCACAUAUAUUCAGGAGUAAUUUUACGGUACUAUAAAUUUAGGAACUUGUCCUCUAUAUAUCAUGAAGUUUUUAAAGUUGGAGAUGGUGUAAUCACUCUGUUGCUUUGGGAAUGUUUAAUGUAACUAAAAUUAUCUGCAGAUGAAUGGUUUGUGAUGGUAUGAUCAUUGCCCAUUUCACGGAAAUCUCUUUUUUCCUUUUCUUUUGCAUUACGGAAUGAUGUAUUAUCAUGUUAUGUUUUACUAUCACAGUUUCUCUUCUCUAAAUCCAAUAAUCAUUUGACAUAUGCUAACUGAAUUAUAAUUUACAAACAGAUGUCUCCACCUGUCUUUAUGUCAGUGGUCAACCAAGAGAUACAUCCAGACAACUAUAGCCCCAUAGUGCUGAAAAUGCACUGGAUACUUCCUCAUGCAUGUAAGUUCCAGAACUUCAAUUUUAUUGAGUAAGAUACUUGCCUGAGUUUUCGGUAUUGACAGCACAAUAGAUAUUUCUUUCUCGCCGGUCUCCAUCUGUUGGAGUAUAUCGACCUCAUUAAAUAUUGUAAAUUCAGUCAGAUCCUUUGAUUCAUCUUCUUUGAUAUCACUAGUAUCUGCAAGAUUAUAGAUGUGGUUGUUGUACUGAUCUGUAUCAACAAUAUUAUCGCACUCAAACACUCAAUCAACUUCUCCUGGAUCCAAUAGCAAGUUGAGAUCCAAUGGCUGUAGCUUAAGUAGAGAAGGAUUGGUAGAACUAAAAAAUUGUGAACUUUAAAACCAAAUCAAGAGGAUUGUAAAUUUUAGUUCUAUCAAUCCUGCCCUACUUAAGUUACAACCAUUAGACCUCCACCUGCUAUGGAUUCAAGAGAAGUCGAUCGCUUGCUUGAGUGCGAUAACAUUAUUGAUACAGAUUAGAACAACAACCACAUCUAUGAUCUUGCAGAUAUUGGUGAAAUAAAAAAAGAUGAAUUAAAGGAUCUGACUAAACUUACAGUAUUUAAUGAGGUUGAUAUACUCCAGCAGAUGGAGACCGACAUUGAAAAAAUAUCUAACAGGUGCGCAGAGCCAGAGCCUGGCAUGUUCGCCUGGUCGUGCUGUCAAUAUCAAAAUCCCAGGCGAGCAUCUUACUCCUCAAUCGUAGAGAGAAAGAAUAAGAGUGUAAAGUGGUUUCCUGCUCCAGACUGCAAGCUGUGGUAGGGAGUAAUGGAUUCAUGAUGUGUCAUGUGCACGUUACCCCAAAUUUUGCUAGCAUUGUAGCCACAAGGCUCACUGUCCUGUAGACUGUGACAGUAUGAAGCAAUGGAUGUUGAAGAACAAGUUAGACAGAGGUAACAUGGAGUGGUAUUACUGAAUAUAUAUGCAAGCUGAUCUUUUAAGAUUGUAUAAAAAUAUCUCCGCACAAUUUGGAAAAUAUCUGAGGAAUUUUUGUUAAUGAAAGAGUUCGUUGUACAGCAAAGCGAGCUUGUUUUUCUUGCACUUUGCGAGAGAAUACAAUGUGUUGGACCUUCUGUUCCCUAAUAAGUUGUAAAGAAAUCUCUGUGAAGCUCUUUUUUCUCAACCAAGAGGCUUUGCCUCUUGCAUCUUUUCCUCCAGAACGUUGAAAAGAUUUUCUUUUCUCAUAGACGCUAUGUUCUUAGAUGGUUCACAUCCAUUUAUCUUUCCAAUCUUAAAGAGCGUCUGGGAGGUGUCAUUUUCACUGAUGGUGAUUUGUUAGGGAAUUAUUCAUCAUGCCCAAUGUUGAAAUUUGUGCAAUUAUGGACUGCAAUAUCUUUUCUAAAGGUUCUAAAUGUCUCUGCUCUCAGACUCAAAUAUCUUUAGAUAGACUAUUUUCGUGGGCUCAAAAACAUUGAGAUCAAUCUUCAUACUUGAAGUCUUAUAUCACUUAUACUGGGAGGAAAUCUUGCACAAAACUAUCAUAUUCGGGACGGUCCUAUUCAUUAUGUAGAUAUUCAAGUUGGAGAAGUUUACAGAAACCAAAUGAGUAUAGAUGUUUCUAGUUAGUCUGCGUUUAAGUUGCUGACUGAAAUCUGUAAUGUUACCGUACUAGCUGUGGAUAAUUUGUUUCGGGAGGUAUAUGCUUUGUCCAUUUCUUCUACUUAUUGAGUUUUCAUAUUUUUGGCUAAUUACUUGAUUUCUUUAAUGCAUCCUCUUACCGUUCCUUUUAAAACAUUCAAUUAACCCAUGAAAUUCCUUUCCUUUUAAUACACAGAAGAUUACGAUCCUCCUCGAUAGAAUGUCAAAUGUAUAUAAUGCCUACUUUCUAAUGAUUGUGAGUUCCUAAACUUCAAUUUUUGUCAUAUUUUACACAUUUAUUAGCCACUAUUAUUUGGGGACAGUAGGUUACUUAAUUGUUAAAGUGCAUGCUUACUAUAGUAAUUAUGUUUAUUAUUUUUUUGCUUUUCUGAACUAUAUUAAAUUGUGCAGGCACAAGAAGAGACUUUAUUCUUGUCCACUUAGGAAUGGAAUUCAGAAAACCAUGUGACUGUUGGGAUUCCAAAUUUUCUGGAAUAUGUUUACAUUAACAUGUCUUUUGGACAUGAAAUUGGCCAUCUCUAUCUUUCAGAAUAGUACUUAAGCGAUGAUGGAAAGAAGUAUAAGAUUAUUGAGAAGUUAUUAGUACUUCCAAGAACUUCAACAAAAGCAGAAGUACUUCUGUUGUAGUUUAAAUUUUAGGUUCUCAAAAGAGGUAAUAACAUUUUUGCUACUUAUUUUCAACAAGUAAGGGGUUCUUACGUUUGCACUUGAGUUUCACAAAUUUGCACUUAAGUUAAUGAGAUGUCCUUGCCAAUAUUGGUCGAAAGAUUCUUGGGUAAAUUCUUUUCUUGGCAAUAUCUACAAAAUAAAAUUUCUGCUUAUUGUUGGGAAUUGUCCAUUAGGAAUUUGCAGUAUCAGUACUGAAAUGCUCAUGUUUUUGUAGGUAACAUUAUUUCCUUAGGCCAACUAUUGGUUUUUGCUAUCGGUUUGUGGAACUGGAAAAUUCAAUGCGUGGUUAGCUAUAUUUCUAGUGUUUUGACCAUCUCCUUAGGAGUAGACAAUCAUAUGUUGAUUAACUAUGUUUUUUGGAAUUUUUAUUAUUUUUGCUGUGAAAUUUUUAGGUGCAUACCCAAGUCAAACACAAGUUAAAUUGCAAUGCACAUCAGAUUGUUUCGGUGUCCCUUUAAGUUGUUUUAAGGUUUUCUGUAUGAAAGGAAAAAGAAAAAAGAAAUGGCUCACUCUCAACUGAUUUCAAUUCUAUGUUUCUCUGGUUGCAGGAAAAAAUCAAAUUGCUGAAUGGUUCAUGUGUGGACAACAAAGAGAAUUAGUGUUUGACAUAGACGAAACAAAAGUUUAAGUCUUUUGUCCUGUAUCUCGGGACACUUACGUUAAUGAGGCUAUCGCGUCCCUUUCGAGAAGACCAAGGAUAAAAGGGGCCUAUCUUGAUAGGAUUAGAUAGUUUAACCUCUUGAUGAAACUAGUGCUUACUUUGUCAAAUAAAUGUACAUUUUAUUCAAUCUUUUUUUAUACUAAGGGCCAAAUUUUAUGGCCCCAAUGCUGUGAUAUAGUUGUCUAUAUGUAUUAUAUGUACAGAUAGCAUGUAGAAAGAAACUCAGAAGUCAGGAAAUUAGAAAACUUAUCAUGAGAUUAGAGUAUGGAGAAGGAGAUGUAGCAGCUUGUUUUUCUUCUUUGUCAUAAUCUCCUUUUGAAUGUAAUGUAAUGGAAUUGCAAAAGUUUUGGAAUUUAAAGGAUUCCUCUUUGAAGCACUUUCUCUAGUUUGGUUGUCUUCUUAUUGUAAGCGGUAAACUGUUAUCGAUAUGGAAUAAUUGUGAUCGAACUAUGCAAAUCUAUCUUUUUUUUUUCUGAUAUUUCUCUUAUUGAAAUGGAUUUAUGUUGGAAUUAUUGUUUUUAGGUUAAAGAGUACUUCAAAAAUUUGUGGUAAAUUUGUUCCAUCUAAUGAUUAUUUUUUAUUCGUUGUUGAGAUAUAAUAUAUUUAAGAAAUAAAUAAGUAUAAUGAUGUAAAAAUAUAUUAAAUUAGAGAAUUUUUUUAAAAAUAUAAAAUUAGAUUAAAUUUAAAAAUUAAAAAUUAAAAUCAAUACUAAUAUAAGACCAUUUAUUCGAUUGAAUGUUUUUAAAUAUUAUUCUAAUUUAUAAUAAUAUAGUUUAUUAAAAUAUAUUAAGUUUUAUAUUAUACAAUGUUAGAUGGAUUUUUAAAUUAAAUAAAGCAAAUAUUUCAAAUAAAAUGCAAAACGGCACACAUAUGGUGCGUUCUUCUGGGUAGAUAAGUUUGGAUUUAACAUUUCAUCAGCGGAUCCCGAAUGAAACACAAUCGGGUUAGGGUAUUCUUCGGAUCUUGUUUGUGUUUUGAGAGUUAGGGAUUAUAAAUUCAUCGUUAACCACCAGGUAUCCCACGAGCCGCUUCCCAGCUUUGGAAUAGAUUGAGGGAAGUCUGCAUAGAAUCUUACCAGAGAGAUGGAUGCUGUAAAACCUGGAGAGAAACAGCUAGAGAAAGAAGAUGACGACGACGACGAAGAUGAAGGAACCGUCGUGGAUCAUGAAGUCCUUCCGUCGAAUAAGUAAUUUACCAAGGUAAUCUCGGUUGUUGUCUCUUGGCUGAGCCUCUUUUUAAUCUUUUAUCACUACGUUUUUGCACUUGAUUUGGAUUUCUUCAUGAUCGAUUGAAGCGGGAAAUUGAAAAAAACAAAGAUAAACUUUUUUGAUCUUUCAAUUCAGUUGCUGGUUGUUUUAGGUCAAGCAAUGAACUUGACUGAAAAAAUUAUCUGGGUGGCUUCAUAUAUAAUUUGGGUCGAUUUGGAUUGAUGGUGAUUUUUGCUUAGAUAAUUUCAGUUGGUUAAAUGUGAUUAAUUGGACUUUGAAUCUACUUUCCGGUGUUUACAUCUAAAUAUAUAUGAUUUGAAUAUUGAUUAUAUCAGGUUGAGAGCUUUUUAGCAAUUAGGGGACACGGAUGUGUACUGGAACUAAAUUCUAGUAAUUUCCCUAGCAGUUCUCUAGUUGUCGCUUUUAGUCAUAUUUCUUGAGCACGCUAGUAUUCUGAUAUUGAAAAAUUAAUUUAUCCAUAUUGUGGUCAUACUUGGUUCUUGUAGAGAAUCUAUGGCAGAUUCUGACGUUUGCUCUUUUCUUUUAGAAAAAAAGAUUGGGAAAAUGCACGGGUUUGAAAGCGUUGUAUCUUGGAACAUUUGGUAAGUUCACUGCUCAAUUCUGACGUUUGUUUAUUUUAUGAAAAAUAAUGUUACGUUAUAGACAUUUUUCUUCUAAAAAAAUGAUACUUUUUAGUUAGUGUAUAUCGAUUAACAGCUUUUAGGCUUAAUAGUACUUAAAUGCGGUUAUUGCUAUGUGGCCUCAUUUGUUAACAUUGAUUGUGACAAGUACUUGGACAUUUAGGGUUAGGUUCAGUCACAUUUUGUAUUGACCAACGUAUAUUCCGGGAAUGAAUCCAUUUAUGGAAAGAAAAGAUUUUCAUUUAUAAAUGCUGUACCUUAACCAUGAUCAUGCACACUUGAUGUAACUCUGGCGCUGGUGGGAUCUGAAGUCUUUGAUUAUAAUCGUUCGUCAAAAUUUUUGUAUCCAUUUCUCUUCGAAAUCUCAAAGGAGUGUGUCUUAUAGAUACUGUUUUGACAAUCAUUGAUUGGAAAAUAUUUGUUAUAAUCCUGGCUGGUGCUGAAGAGUAUGCAUGUAUGUUAAUAUGAUCUUUCCCCAGUUUAUUUUAAAAAAAUCUUUCCCUGGUCAAGCUUCUAAAUAUUUCAACCCUCAAAACAAAAUUUCAUCUCAUCAUUAGUGUUGGUAAAUGAUUGAGACCAUAUUGAGGAGAAAUUUUAUGGUACUAUAAAUUUAGGAACUUGUCCUCUAUAUAUCGUGAAGUUUUUCAAGUUGGAGGUGUAAUCACUCUGUUGCUUAGGGAAUGUUUCAUGUAACUAAAUUUUCUGCAGACGAAUGGUUUGUGAUGGUAUAAUCUCUGCUCAUUUCGUGUAAUUUCUUUUUUCCUUGCCUUUUGCAUUACAGAAUAAUGUACUAUCAUGUUAUGUUUUGCUGUCGCAGUUUCUCUUCUCUAAAUCUGACAAUCAUUUGACAUAUGCAAAUUGAAUUGUGUUUUACAAACAGGUGCCUCCAUCUAUCUGUCUGGUCAGUGGUCUACCAAGAGAUACGUCCAGGCAGUUAUAGCCCAAUAGUGCCGAAAAUACACUGGAUACUUUCUCAUGCAUGUAAGUUCCAAAACUUCAAUUUUAUUGAGGAGUAAGAUACGUGCUUGGGAUUUCGAUACUGACAGCACAAUUGAUAUUUCUUCAAUAUCGGUCUCCUCUUGUUGAAGUAUAUUAACCUCAUUAAAUAUUGUAAAUUUGGUAAGAUCUUUUGAUUUAUCUUCUUUGAUAUCACCAGUGUCUGCUAGAUCAUAGAUGUGGUUGUUGUGCUGGUAGUAUCAAAGAAGAUAAAUCAGAGGAUCUAACCAAAUUUACAAUAUUUAAAGAGGUUGAUAUACUCCAGCAAAUGGAGACCGACAUUGAAGCAAUACUAUUGUGCUGUCAGUAUUGAAAUCUCAGGAAAGUAUCUUGCUCCUCAACAUGGCUGGAGCACUAAUAAAGUGUACGAUAAAUGGUUUUCUAAUGAAUGCAAGGUUCGUGAGAGGACCAGUUAGUUAAUUGAGAAUCUACCAAAAGUUUCGUUAGUCUUAUUAAUUACAGAAUCUGCUUUGGAUCUUAUAGUCAUGAUAAGAUUCAAUCGGCUUCUUGUGGCCAUGGCCAUUAGUGGUUGUUUGGGGCUAAGGUGUCCAGAGCCAUCUUGCAGCACAAUUGUCUGCCAGGACAUGGGUUUUUGGGUUGCCCACUUAGGUGGAAAAGGAAAAAUAUCUUGGUUACGUUGUUCAAUUUUAUGUACAAAAAAGGAAUGAUAUUUUAAAGUGAUGUCCCAUUCCAGACUGCAAACGUGCAAUCGUUCUAGCAGUGGUACGGAGUAAUGGGAUUCAUGAUGUAUUAUGUGCAUGUUACCACAAAUUAUGACACUGUGAAUCAAUGGAUGUUGAAGAACGAGUGAGAUGGAGGUAACAUGAAGAGUUUUUACUGAAUAUUAUGCAAGCUGAUUUUUUAAGAGUAUAUGAAAAUGUCUCCACACUGUGUCGAUAAUGUCGUGAUUGUUGGAUCCUAAAUUUUGAGGAAUUUUUUUUAAUGAAAGAGUUUGUUGUACAGCUAAGCUAGCUUUUUUUUUUUCUGGCAUUUUCCCAGAAAAUACAAUAUGUUGGACCUUCUGUUCUCCAAUGAGUUGUAAAGAAAUCAAGUAAUUGUAUGUGUAGCUCUUUUUCUCAACCAAGGGGGUUUGGCCCUUGCCUCUUUUUGUCCACUGCUGUAAUAUAGUUGUCUAAUUGUAUUAUAUGUACAGAUAGCAAGUAGAAAGAAACACUGGGAAAUCAGUGAGUUAAAAAACUUGUCCGGACAUAAAAGUAUGAAGAUGGAGAUGUGUAGCUUGAUUUUCUUCCUUGUGUUAAUCUCCUUCUGAAUGGAGGGUAAAUGGAAUUUCGAACUUUUGGAAUUAAUGGAUUCCUCUUUGAUGAACUUCUAGUUUGGUUGUCUAUUUUUUGUAGACCGGAAUUUGAUUAUGUUAGUUGAAAUCAUUGUUUCUAGGAUAAGAGUGUCAAAGAAAUAGCGAGGAUGGAAUGUUAAUGACAAAAUCCCUCAAAAUCUAUUUGACGCGAUUUCAGAUAAUUAUUUAUGCGUUGUUUCAAAUAAUUUAAAUUGUUCUAUGUGUUGAAUAUUUUCUUUUUAGGUUUGUUGAUGAUUUAGCUUUAGGGAUUGUUUCAGAUAAUGAUCGAGAAAGAUAAUUUUGACUGAAAAAUAUUAAUUAUGUCGAGUUCUAAAAAAGUUAAUUCUUCGGAUUUAUUUAUUUUUUAAUUCAAAUUUCAAAAUUUGUUAUAUGAAAUAUAAAUAUUCUCAAACGAAUUAUUUAUUUAUUUUUUAUAAAUUUUUAAUACAUAAAUUAAAUUUUCGAACUUUAAAAUUUAAAUGUUAUUUUAUCUCUAUUUAAAAUUUAUUUAUCGGUAAAAUAAGAGUAGUAGAUGUCCAAACCAAGAACAAUUUUUUUUUAUUCAUUUGAAACUCAAAAUCUUUUAUUCUUCAAAAAAGUUGUAAUAUAUAAACUGAAUUGUCAAGGAAUUUAUGAUGAGUUUUGAUAUUUUUGAGAAAUGGUUUGUAUUAUAGGAGAUAAAUAAUAUUUUUAAUGAUUAUAUUUAAAAAUAAAAUUAUUUACUAAUUUUAUAUUUUUUAAGUUAGUAAAACAUUACCUCAUUAUAAAAUAAGUAAUAUAGUUAAAUUUUUAUUAUUUUUAUAAAAAAAUUUUGUAUUAUUAGAAUAAUAUUUUUUAAAAAAUAAUAUUAUUUAAAUGAUUAAAAUAAUUAAAAUUUUAUGUUAUCUAAUUUUUUUUAUUAUUUCAAAGUUUAUUAUUAAUUUAUAAUAUUAUUAACUAAAUGUAACAUCAUAUUUUAUAUUGAAAUAUUUUACAACAAGUUUUAUUAAUCACUUUAUUGUUCUUCACUUAAAGUAAUUUUUGUUAAAACUCAUUUUUAAAUUACAUUUUUCCCUACAUCGAAAGUAUAAGUAUGAGUACCCAAGUGUUCAUGUUUAUGUCAUUAACAUACAUAAUUAUUAUUGUCUUAUACCAACUUUUACUUCCUCUAUGUUGUUUUAGAAUUGGAAAAUUCAAUACUUUGUUGACUUAAUUUUAGUGUUUUGAUAUUUUCCGAGUAAAAGAUAUCAUAUGCUUAUUAGCUCUACUUUUAGAUAUUAUUAUUUUUCGUGUAGAAUGCUUAUAAGCAUUAUUGAACUUUUAUACGAAUGUAAUGCUUUAACAAGUUAAAUAAAAAUCAACAUUGUUUCGUGAUAUUUUUAGUUGGUGUAAAUUUUUCUAGUUAAAAAAAAAAAUAACUUCAUCUCAACUAGUUUCACUUUUAGUGUUUACCUAGUUGCAUAAAAAACUCAAUAAAUUUCUGAAGAAUCCGUGUUUAGAGAAUGAAGACAAUUGACUUUUGAUAUUAAGAAAAUAACUUGUUAACUCUUUAAUAGUCUUUUUCAUUUUUUUUUUUUGAGAGUUUAGAUUAGUGAAAUUAUCAUAUAUAUUUGAAGAAAAUCGAGAUAAAAACGAGAGUAACUUAAUAGGUUAAUAAAAAUUUAGUCUUAUGAUGGAAGUAACGAUUACUCUCUUAAACAGAUUUAUUAAUAGUUUUUGACAUCUCUUUCUCUUUGAGAUACAAUUUUUUAUUUUUUAUUUUUUAAUUUUUGAACAUCAUCGAUACGUCUAAUGUUUUAGCAUUUUAAACAUAUUUCAAAUUAGUUAUUGUUGGUUAAUCAACUGUUUUUAUCAAAAUAAAAACAUUCAAUAACUGUGAAUGGAUAUAAAUAAAUGAAGAUUUAUUUAUAUAAUAAUUCUUUAAUUAGUUACAAGAAAUUUUAUGAUUAUUACCGCAUAUAACCACUAUUUGAUGAUAUUUAACAACUGAUCUUUAUUUAAUAAUAAUCGAUCUUAUUAUAAUAAUCAAAAAAAUUCUUUAAGAGUUUGUGUGGUAAAUAUGCUCAUUUAUUCAAUGAUCAUUUUUUGUUAUAUUAUAAUAUAGUACAUUUAAGAAAUAAAUGGAUAUAGUCAUUUUAAAUUAUAUUAAAUUAUUAUUAUUUUUAAAAUAUCAAGUUAAAUUAAAUAUUAAAAUAAGCAGACAAAUUAGACAGAAAAUUAUUGGCCUCUCAAACAACUCCACUACUUGCAAAUGCAGAUUCUGAAUUUUCUCCACUGAAUGCAUUCUUCUUUCUCUUUGAUCUGCUUCAAUGAGGCCUUGUUGGGGAUGGUCCUUCUAUUAACUAUGUAGAUAUUCAAGUUGGAGAAGUUUACAGGAACCAAAUGAGUACAGAUGUUCUUAGUUUCAUUGCUUUUAAGUUGCUGACUGAACUCUAUAAUGUUACUGUAGUAGCUGUGGAUAAUUUGUUUCAUGAAGUAUAUGCUUUUUCUAUUUCUUCUACUUAUUGAUUGUUCCCUUUUUUCUCUAAUUACUUGAUUUCUCUAAUGCAUAUCUUACCUUUCCUUUUAAAAAAUACAAGUAACCUAAAACAUUCUUUAGUGUUGAAUGCAGCUUGUCGUCUACGAAGGCCAGUGAUUCAUGGACAUAUUCAAAUGCGAUCACUUUAAAACAUGAGCAAUGUAUAUCUGUCUAUUUGGCCAUCCAAGAAACAUAUACAGAUGAUUAUGGUCCUCCUCUGUAGAAUGCUGAAUGUAUGUAGCAGUUCUUUGGUUGUCACUUUUAGUUAUUAUAUCCUAAGCAAAGGAGUAUACGAUCUUUCAAAACUAAUUUAUCCAUAUUGUGGUUAUAUUUGGUUCUUCUAGGAGAAUAUAUGGUAAAUUCUUACCUUUGUCUUUUUUUUAUAUAUAAAAAGUGUGAAAAAGUACCGGUUUAAAAGUAUUAUAUCUCGAAACAUUUAGUAAGUUCACUACUCAAUUCUGACGUUUGUUUAUUUUAUGAAAAAUAAUAUUACAUUGUAGAUAUUUUUUUCUUAAAAAAAUGAUACUUUUUACUUAGUGUGUAUCGAUUAAAGCUUGUAGGUGUAAUAUUACUUUAAUGCAAUUAUUGUUAUAUGUUCUCAGUUGUUAAUAUUGGUUGUGACAAGUAGUUAAACAUUUAUUCUAGUUCAAAUUUAGGGUUAGGUUUAGUCGCAAUUUGCAUGACCAACGUACAUUGCGGGAAAACAUCCAUUGAUGGAAAAAUAGAUUAUCAUUUAUAAACGUUAUACCGUAACCAUGAUCAUGCACACUUUAUGUGACUCUAUCGCUGAUGCAAUCUGAAGUCUUUUAUUAUAAAUGUUCAUCAAAAUUCUUGCAUCCAUUUCUCUUUGAAAUCUCAAAGGAGCGUGUCUUAUACAUACAUGCUGAAAAGUAUGCAUGUAUGUUAAUAUGAUCUUUGGUCUAGUUUAUUUAUAUAAAAAAAUGAUUUUUCCCUAGUCAAGCUUCUAAAUAUUUCAACCCUUAAAACGAAAUUUCAUCUUACCAUUAUUGUUGGUAAAUGAUUGAGACCAGUCUUCGAUCAAUAAGUUUUUACCACAUAUAUUCAGGAAAAAUUUUAUGGUACUAUAAAUUUAAGAACUUGUCCUCUAUAUAUCGUGAAGUUUUUCAUGUUGGAGGUGUAAUCACUCUGUUGCUUUGGAAAUGUUUCAUGUAACUAAAUUUCUUUCUGAUGAAUGGUUUAUGAUGGUAAAUCAUUCCUAACUUCAUGCAAAUCUCUUUUUUCCUUGUCUUUUGACUUACGGAAUAAUAUAUUAUCAUGUUAGAUUUCUGCGUCGCAGUUUCUUUUUUCUAAAUCCAACAAUCAUUUGACAUGUGCAAAUUGAAUUUUAUUUUUACAUACAGGUGCCUCCACCUAUCUAUUUGGUCAAUGGUGAACCAAGAGAUACGUCCAUAGCCCAAUAGUACCGAAAAUGCACUGGAUACUUUUUCAUGCAUUUAAAUUCUAGAACUUCAAUUUUAUUGAGGAGUAAGAUACAUGGCUGAGAUUUUGAUACUAACAGCACAAUAGAUAUUUCUUUAAUAUCGGUUUCCUCUUGUUGAAGUAUAUCAACCUCAUUAAAUAUUGUAAAUUUGGUAAGAUCUUUUGAUUUAUCUUCUUUGAUAUCACCAGUAUCCGCUAGAUCAUAGAUGUGGCUGUUGUGUUGGUGAUAUCAAAGAAAAUAAAUCAAAAAAUCUAAUCAAAUUUACAAUUUUUAAUGAGGUUGAUAUACUCCAACAAAUGGAGACCGACAUUAAAGCAAUAUUUAUUGUGCUAUCAGUAUUGAAAUCCCAGGAAAGUAUCUUGCUCCUCAACAUGACUGGAGCACAAAUAAAGUGUACGAUAAAUGAUUUCUAAUGAAUGCAAAGUUCGUGAGAGGACCAAUUUGUUAAUUAAGAAUUUACCAAAAGUUUCAAGUUUUGGUAGUCUUCUUACUUGUGGGAUAGCACGUAGAAAGAAUCUGGAAAAUCAGGAAGUUGAAAAACUUAUCUUGAGAUAGAGCAUGGAGAAGGAGAUGUAGCUUGUUUUUUUUUCCUUGUGUUAAUCUUCUUUUUGGAUGAUAUGUACUGAAUUAUCAAAACUUGUGGAAUUUUAAGGAUUCAACUUUGAAAGGACUUCCUCUAGUUUGGUUGUCUUUUUAUUGUACACUUUAAAUACUUAUGUCAGUUGGAAUGAAUCGAUGUUUUCGCACGGUAAUGAUCGAACCAUGCAAAUUUAUCUUUUUUUUUCCUCGUCACUUCUCUAAUUGAAAUGAAUCAAUGCUGGAGCUUCGAAGAAAUAGCGAGUAUGGAACGUGAAUGACAAAACUUUUGUUCGUAAUAAUUAAAUUUGCAUUAUUACCAAAUUUAAAUGGUUAGUUUUAUUUAAUGAAUUUUUUUUGUUCAUUAUUAAGAUAUAAUAUAUUUAAAAUAUAAAUAGAUAUAAUAAUUUGAAAGUAUAUUAAAUUAAUGCGGCUUUUAAAAAUAUGAAAGUGAACUAAACAUAAAUUACUUUGGUUAAAUAUUUUUAAAUGUUUUAUCUGUUCUGUACUUCCAUAUUAUAAUUUAUAAUAAUGUAAUUUAUUAAAAUACAUCUGAAGUCUUAUAUUAUAAUAUGUUAGAUGAAUUUUUAAAUUAAAGAAAUGUAAAUCAAAUAUUUCAAAUAAAAUGCAAAACGACACACAAAUUAGCAGAAGAGUAAUUUUAUUGACUGUUCAUCUGGGUAUUAGAUAAAGUUGGAUUUUGAUUUAAAAAAAAAAAAAUUUGUUGUAACUUUUAUUUACUUGAGGAUAUAAAAGAUAAUUUAUUUCAUUAUAUUGUAAUCUGUUGACUCGGCCCAACCCGACUGAAACAAUCGGAUCAGGGUAUUUUGCAGAUCUUUGUUUGUGUUUUGAGAGAACGGCCUAUAAAUUCAUCGUUAACCACCAGGGAUUGAAGGAGCCGCUUCCGAUCUGUGGAACAAAACUGCGGGAAGUCUGCAUAGAACCUUACCAGAGAGAUGGAUGCUAUAAAACUUGUUGCGAAACAACUAGAGAAAGAAGAUGACGACGACGACGAAGAUGACGACGACGACGACGAAGAUGAAGGAACCAUCAUGCAUCAUGAACUCCUUUCGUCGAAUAAGUAAUUAACCAAGGUAAUCUCGACUGUUGUCUCUUGGGUGAGCCUCUUUUUUUUUAUCUUUUAUCACAAUGCUUUUGCACUUGAUUUGGAUUUCGUCAUGAUCGAUCGAAGCGGAAAUUAAGGAAAACAAAGAGAAAUUUUUUUGUCUAUCACUUCAGUCACUGGUUGAUUAGGUCAAGCGAUGAACUUGACUGAAAAAAUAAUCUGGGUAACUUCGUUUUUAAUUUGGGUUCAGUUGGAUUGAUUGUGAUUUUUGUGUAGGAAAUUUGAGUUUAUUAAAUCUGAUUAAUUUGAUUUUGAAUCUGGUUUCCAGUGUUUACAUCUAAACAUGUGUGAUUUAAAAGUUGAUUAUGCCAGGUUGAAAGCUUUUUAGCAACUAGGGAAUAAGGAUGGAUUCUGAAACUAAAUUCUAGUAACUUCCCUGGCAGUUCUCUGGUUGUCACUUUCAUUUGUUAUAUCCUAAGCGAACUGAGUAUAAAAUUUUGCAAAACUAAUUUAUCCAUAGUAUGGUUAUACUUGGUUCUUGUAGGAGAAUCUAUGGCAGAUUCUGACGUUUGCUUUUUUUUUUUUUUUUCUUCUACGAAUAGUGGGAAAAAGCACCAAAUUGAAAGCAUUAUUUCUUGGAACAUUUGGUAAGUUCACUACUCAAUUCUGACGUUUGUUUAUUUUAUGGAAAAUAAUAUCUUUUUGAUUAUAAACGGUGGAAUCAUCCAUUUUGAUAUAUAAGAAAUGAUCGAUUUGAAAAUGCUGUAAGAGAUCAAAUGUAAAAAUAUUUUUUUUAUACAUGCGAUCAGUAAGCGAACUAGGAUCUGCAAGAUCCUACUUUGAUCCACCCUUCCCUCUCGAAACCUCUUCUUAUCCAUAGACUCAAGAUCCAUAAAAGUGGCUAUCUUGUUUUCAGGCCUACCUUUUUCUUUCUCUACCUUCACCAUAGAUAUUUUUCUUCUAAAAAAAUGAUACUGUUUAGAUAGUGUAUAUCUAUUAACAGUUUUUAGGUUUAAUAUUACUUAAAUGCAGUUAUUGCUACGUGGCCUCAUUUGUUAACAUUGGUUGUGACAAGUACUUGAACAUUGAUGGUAGUUAAAAUUCAGGGUUAGGUUUAGUUGCAUUUUGCAUGACCAACGUGCAUCGUGCGAAAGCAUUCAUUUAUAUCAUUUAUAAAUGCUAUACUCUAACCAUGAUCAUGCACANNNNNNNNNNNNNNNNNNNNNNNNNNNNNNNNNNNNNNNNNNNNNNNNNNNNNNNNNNNNNNNNNNNNNNNNNNNNNNNNNGCUUCUAAUCCGUGAAAUACCUAAGGAAGUCUACAAUCUUUCCAUAGAGAUGUUCCUAUAACACUUGCUGUGAAGGCAUGUAGAUAAAGAAGAUGACGACGAUGAUGAAGACGACAUUGAGCUCAAAAACAUUGAGAUCAAUUUUCGUACCUGAAGUCUCAUAUCAUUAUACUGAGAGGAAAUCUUGCACAAAACUAUCAUAUUAGGGACGGUCCUUGUAUUCAUCAUGCAGAUAUUCAAGUUGGAGAAGUUUAUAAACAGCAAAUGAGUACAGAUGUUCUUAGUUGUACUGCUUUUAAGUUGCUGACUGCACUCUGUAAUGUUACUGUACUAGCUGUGGAUAAUGUUUUUUGGGAGGUAUAUGCUUUGUCUAUUUCUUCUACUUAUCGUUUGUUUCCUUUUUUGCUCUAAUUACUUGAUUUCUUUAGUGCAUCCUCUUACUUUUCCUUUUAAAAAAUACAAGUAACCUCUGACAUUCCUUGGUGGUGCAGCUUCUCUCCUACAAGUCCAGUCAUUCAUGGGCAGAUGCAAAUGCAAUCACUUUAAGACAUGAGCAAUGUAUAUCUGUCUGUCUGGCCAUCCAAGAAACGUAUACAGAUGAUAACUAUCCUCCUCGGUAGACUGCCAAAUGUACAUAGCGCCCACUUUCUAAUGCUUCUGAGUUCAUAAGCUUCGAUUUUCUUCAUAUUUAAUGCAUAUAUAUUAGCCAUUAUCUUUUGGGGACAGCAGGUUUUCAAUUGUUAAAAUGCAUGCUUACUGUAGUUAUUAUUAUUAUUAUUAUUUUGUUUUUCUGAAGUAUAUUAAAAUGUGCAGGCACAAGAACAGCCUUUAUACGUGUUGACUCUGGAAUGGAAUUCAGAAAACCUUGAGACUGUUGGGAUUCCAAAUUUUCUGGAAUAUAUUUACAUUAACAAGUUUGUUGGACGUGAGAUUGAUCUUCUCCUGGUGAAAGUUUUCCUUGAGAAUGCGAAAGCAUUAGUGAAGUUGGCCACUACCUUUCAGAGUGGUGCUGAAUCGGAUGAUGGAAAGAAAUCUAAGAUUAUUGAGAAGUUAUUGGCAUUUCCAAGAGCUUCAACAAACCUUGAGACUGUUGGGAUUCCAAAUUUUCUGGAAUAUAUUUACAUUAACAAGUUUGUUGGACGUGAGAUUGAUCUUCUCCUGGUGAAAGUUUUCCUUGAGAAUGCGAAAGCAUUAGUGAAGUUGGCCACUACCUUUCAGAGUGGUGCUGAAUCGGAUGAUGGAAAGAAGUCUAAGAUUAUUGAGAAGUUAUUGGCAUUUCCAAGAGCUUCAACAAAAACAGAAGUAUUUCUCUUGUAAAUUAAACUUUAGUUUCUGAAAAGAGCUAGUUAUUGGCACUAAGUUAGUGAGAUGCCCUUGCCAAUAUUGGUUGAAAGAUUCUUCUGUUAAUUAUUUUCUUGGCCAUACAUAAAAGAAACAUUUCUGCUUAUUGUUGGGAAUUUCGAGUAUCAGUACUGAAAUACACAUACUUUGUAGGUAAUAUAUUUUCCUCAGUCCAACUUUUAGUCCCUACUAGUGGUUUGUGGAACUGGAAAAUUCAAUGUGUUGUUGGAUAUAUUUCUAGUGUUUCAAUAAUUUCCUAAGAAGCAGAUAAUCAUAUGUUGGAUAGCUAUAACUUCAGAGAUUUUUAUUAUUUUUGCUGUAGAAUUUUUAGGUGCAUAGCCAUAGUCAAACAUUUUUUAACAAAGGGAAAGCUUUAACAAGUUAAACUGCAAUGAGUAUCAGAUUGUUUCGGUCUUGCUCUUGUAUUUCGACUGAUAUCAUUUUUACUGUUUGUCUGAUUGCAGGAAAAAUUCAAAUUGCUGAAUGGUUUCUGUGUGGAGAAUGAAGAGAAUUAGUGUUUGACGUUGACACAACAAAAGUUUUAACUCUUUUGUCUUGUAUUCUGGGGGACUUACAUUAAUGAAGCUAUCACAUCCCUUUGAAGAAAACCAAAGAUAAAAAGGGGCUAACUCGAUAGGCUAAUGAUAUUUUAGCCUCUUGACGAAACCUAUGUUUACUCUUGUAAAUAGAUGUACAUUUUGUUCAAUCUUUUUCUAUACCAGGGGGCAAACUUUAUUGCCUCAGUGCUGUAAUAUAGUUGUGUAUAUGUAUUAUAUGUACAGAUAGUAAGUAGAAAGAAACAUUGGGAAAUUAUGAAGAUUUCUACAACAAGUUUCAUCAAUUACUCAGAGACCCUUCUUCAUUUCAAGUUAUUUUUAAAGCAUUUUUUCCCCUCACAACAUAAGCAUCAUUACCCAAGCCUUCAUGCUUUUGUCAAUAACUAAUUAUUUUGCCUUAAGCCCAACUCUUGCUCCUGUUAUGUCUUAUUAGAACUUGAAAACCCCCAAUGCUAUAUUCGCUUGAGUUUAGUAUUUUUGAUCUUUUCCUAAUCAAAGACAUCGUAUGCUGGUUAUCUCCACUUUUAAAGACUACUAUUUUUCAUGUGGGUGCUUGUAGGCAUAGUUGAACUUUUAUAUAUAUUUCUAUUGUUGACUAUAUAAAUAUUUUAAUAAAAAAAAAUUUGUUAAUUGUUAAAAAAUAUAAAUAAAUAUAGAUUUAUUUUAGUAAUAUUUUUUUAAUUAAUUGUAAGAAUUUUUGUGAUUAUUAUCAAAUAUAAUUAUAAUUGAACUAAGAUUUAAUAAUAUUUAAAAAUUAAUUUUUAUUUAAUAAUAAUUGAUUUUGUUAUAAUAAUUAAAAAAGUUAAAAUUUUUAAAAAAAAUUUAGAUGAAUUUACUCAUUUAUUCUUUUGUUAAAAUAUAAUAUAUUUAAGAAAUAUACAGAUAUAAUUAUUUAAAAAUAUAUUAAAUUAAUGUAUUUUUUAAAAAUAUAAAAUUAAACUAAACAUAAAAUGUUUAUAGAAUGUUUGUUUUUUCUAAUAUAUAUUGAAUAAAGUGGAGAGAGGAAAAUAGAUAAAAGUUAUAUUUUAAUUAAAACUUUUUUGUAAUUUUUUAUUUGAAAAUAUUAAAACUUGGAAAAUAAAGAGGUGUAAUCGGUUCAAUAGCCAAACCCGAAUGAAACACAAUCGGGUCAGGGUAUUUUGUGGAACUUGUUUGUGUUUUGAGAGUUAGGGUUUAUAAAUUCAUCGUUAGCCACCGGAGAUCCAACCAGCCGCUUCUGAGCUGUGGAAUGGAUUGAGGGAAGUCUGCAUAGAAUCUUAGCAGAGAGAUGGAUGCUAUUAAACCCGGUGAGAAACAGCUAGAGAAAGAAGAUGACGACGACGAUGAAGAUGAAGGAACCAUCAUGCAUCAUGAACUCCUUUCGUCGAAUCAGUAAUUAACCAAGGUAAUCUCGGUUGUUGUCUCUUGGGUGAGCCUCUUUUUGAUCUUUUAUCACUCUGCUUUUGCAUUUGAUUUGGAUUACGUCAUGAUCGGUUGAAGCAGAAAUUGAGGAAAACAAAGAGAAAAUUUUUGAUCGUUCACUUCAAUUGCGGGUUGUUUAGGUCAAGCAAUGAACUUGACUGGAAAAAUGAUCUGGGUGACUUACAUUUAUAAUUUUGGUGGAUAUGGAUUGAUGGUAAUUUUUGUGUAGAAAAUUUGAGUUUAUUAGAUGUAAUUAAUUGGAUUUUGAAUCUAGUUCCGGUGUUUACAUCUAGACGUGUUUGAUUUAAUAGUUGAUUAUAUAAGGUUGAAAGCUUUUUAACAACUAGGGAAUACGAAUGGAUUCUGAAACUAAAUUCUAGUAAUUUUCCUGGCAGUUCUCUGGCAAUUCUAGUAAUUUUUUUUUUUUUUUUGAAGAAAUAAAGAGUGGGAAAAAGCACCAUAGUGAAAGCUUUAUAUUUCGGAAGAUUUGGUAAGUCCACUACUCAAUUCUGACCUUUUUUUUUUAUUUUAUGGAAAAUAAUGUUACAUUAUAUAUAUAUUUUUUUUCUAAAAAAGUGAUACUUUUUAAAUAGUGUAUAUUGUUUAACAGCUUUUAGUUUUGAUAUUACUUAAAAUGCAGUUAUUACUAUGUGGCCUCAUUUGUUAACAUUGGUUGUGAUAACUACUUGGACAUUUCUGCUGGUUAAGAUUUAGGGUUAGGUUUACUCCCAUUUUGCAUGACCAACGUACAUUUUUGGAAUGCAUUCGUUUAUGGAAAAAUAGAUUAUUAUUUACAAACACUAUACAUAACCAUGAUCAUGCACACUUGAUAUAACUCUGGUGCUGGUGGGAUAUAAAGUCUUUAAUUAUGAGUCGUUCAUCAAAUUUUUCUUCCAGAUCUUGUUGAGGUUCCGAUGCUGAAAGUAGACCUGAUAAAUUCAUAGACCAGACGCUCGUGCAUCAUGAUGACUCAGAUAUACCAGUCGUCAAAUUCAAAUUAUGCAGAGGAAGAGCACACAUCAUUUUAAAGACUGAAUGGAUUGAUUUUGCUUUGAAGCAUAAUGUUCAAGAUCUUGUUAGUGAAGCUCUUUUUUCUAAACCAAGUGGGUCUGGCUCCUGUAUCUUUUCCUCCAGAACAUUGAAAAGAUUUACUUUCUUGCUAGGCUUCUAUAUUCUCAGAUGCUCCAGAUCCAUUUAGCUUCCCAGUCUUCAAGAAGUGCCUCUUGGAGGUGUCAUUUUCACUGAUGGCUGUCUGACAGAGGAAUUAUUCUCAUCAUGUCAGGUGCUGGAAUCUGUGCAUUUGUGGAAUUGUGACCUGUCUUGUCUAAAGGUUCUAAAUGUUUCUGCUCUCAGACUCAAGACUAUCGUCGCGGGCUCCAAAACCACUGUGAUUAAUCUUCUAAACAAGUCUUGUAUCACUUAUUGAGGGGAAAUCUUGCACGAAAUUGUCAAAUUAAGGGUGGUGCUUCUAUUCGUUAUGCAGAUAUUCAAGCUAGAGAGUUCUAUAGAAACCAAAUGAGUACAGAUGUUUUUGGUUGCACUGCGUUUAAGUUGCUGAGUGAACUUUGAAAUGUCACUGUACUAAUUGUGGAUAAUUUGUUCUUAGAGGUAUAUGCUUUGUCUAUUUCUUAUACUUCUUGAUUUUUCCUUUUUUCUUUUGCUAAUAACUUUAUUUUUUUUGGCUCUUUGAUGGAUAAUGCAUUCUCUUAGUUUUUCUUUUAAAGAAUACAAGUAACCCCAUGAUAUUCCUUGGUGUUGCAGCUUCUCUUCUACAAGGCAAGUAAUUCAUGGACAUAUGCAAAUGCAAUCACUUUUCACAAGCUGAGUAUUGUCUAUCUGUCUGUCUGGCCAUCCAAGAAACGUAUCUUGAUGAAUUAUAAUCUUCCUCAGUAGAAUGCCGAAUGUACUUAUCGCUGACUUUCCUCAUGCUUGUGAGUUCCUAAACUUAAAUUCCAUUCACAUUCAAUGCAUAUUUAUUAGCCAGUAUUGUUUGUGGCAGUGUGUUUUUAAUUGUUAAAUGCAAGUUUAUCAUUGUUAUUGCUAUUAUCGUUUUGCUUUUCUGAAUAAAUGUCAAAAUGUGCAGGCACAAGGACAGCCUUCAUAUGCGUCUGUCUUGGCAUGGAAUUCAGAACACCUUGAGACUGUUGGGAUGCCAAAUUUUCUGGAAUAUAUUUACAUUACCUUGUUUGUUGGACAAGAAAUUGAUUUUUGCCUCGUGAAAGCUUUCCUUGGGAAUGCAAAAGCAUAGUGAAGUUGACCAUCUUUACCCGUUGGAAUGGUACUGAAGCUGAUGAUGGAAAGAAGUCUAAGAUUAUUGAGAAGUUAUGGCAUUUCCAAG